RNAcentral lists this long non-coding RNA (63095 nucleotides) under Gossypium raimondii (Peruvian cotton). RNAcentral describes it as "long non-coding RNA (GRAI_LNC010001)". Lineage: Eukaryota; Viridiplantae; Streptophyta; Magnoliopsida; Malvales; Malvaceae. The record is from RNAcentral.
UCGUCUUGAUUUUUCCAUCAAUGGCCAAGUACGGCGAAGGCGACAAGCGAUGGAUCGUGGAGGAAAGACCUGACGGUGCUAAUGUCCACAACUGGCACUGGGCUGAAACCGAUUGCCUCCCUUGGUCUAAAACGUUCUUCACCAAAUCGCUUUCCGAUCUCACCAUCCUUGAUUGCCAAGGUAAUCUCAGCAUCAAGACCUAGAAGGUCAAAAAGGUCGACGGCGAAGCCUAUGUUAAUGUUCGCAAAGGUAAAAUCUUCCCGGAUAUGAAAUCAGUUUGAGUUUAUCCUGGGAAGGCGAAGCCAAAGAUGAGGAAGGGAAGACGCUGUUGAAAGCUGAAGGUAAUCUAGAGAUUCCGUACAUUUCGGAUGAGAAUGCUGACGAGGAUCCGGAAGUUAAGGUGACGAUUAAAGACGAAGGACCCAUUGGUAAAGCCUUGAAGGAAGCGAUGCUGGCCAAAGGGAAGCCUUUGGUUUUGGAGAAAGUGAGUGAUUUUGUAAAAGCUAUGGCGAAAGGUGGCCCUGUUAAAGAUGAAUUGGAAGCCAAGAAAUCGGCUCCCAAAAAUACUACUACUACUACUAGUAAUAGUAACUCAGCUGCGAUGUCUAAGGAGAAAGUUGGGGUGGAGAAGGAAGCCAAAAAGGAAGUGAAGAAGGAAGGGAAGAAAGGGUUUAAGACGAUUACAAUGUCGGAGAAAUUUAAUUGUAGAGCUAAGGAUAUGUACGAGAUUUUGAUGGAUGAGAAUAGAUGGAAAGGGUUUACUCAGAGUAAUGCUAGGAUAAGUAAAGAUGUCGGUGGCCAAUUUAGUAUUUUCGAUGGAUCGGUUACUGGAAUUAACUUGGAGUUGCAAGAAGGGAAGUUGAUUUCUCAGAGAUGGAGAUUUGGGAGUUGGUCCGACGGGAUUGAUUCUACAGUAAGUUUAAUGGAUUCCGCUUUUGCCUGUUCUCCAGGUUUUUGGGAAUGCAGUGUGGUCGGAUGAUGGCUUAUCUUUACUGGGUGGUUGUUAUUGUUGCAGGUAAGACUUGUUUUCAAUGAGCCUGAGCCUGGGGUUACUGUAAUCAAACUCACGCAUUCAGAUGUUCCCGGGGAAUGCAACUGUGGUGGAGAACACUGAGAGAGGUUGGAGAGACCUUAUUUUCAGUAAGAUACGGGCAGUAUUUGGUUUUGGAAUAUGAUUAAUUUUAUUCCAAAACGAGGAAUUCUUUUUUAGGUUUGAAUUAUUGGAACUUCAUGAAGAAUUGGAACUUCAUGAAGACUUAUUCUUUCAACUAUUUUAUUGUGAAAGAUUUAUAAGACUUUGCAACUCUGAUCUUGGUCUACUGGUUCAUGGUUUUAAAGUUGAAACUUGGACCGAGUGUCUCUGUUGUCUUGUUUGCCAAUACCCAAACUAUCCUUUUAGACUUAUAAUAAUGACAAUGAUGAAAAUGUUGCCUUCCAGCAACUUAAAGUCUGUCAGGGCGCAGAGUGUCUCCUUGAGGAUGUAUAUCCUUUGUGUACAUAUUAAUGUUAUGAUGUUACUUAAGGGCGAAAUUUGGUUUGGGUUGCUGGUUUAUUUUUCUGCCGCUUUAAUGUAUUGAUCUUGAUGAUACUGAAUAAAAGCUCAAAUUGAAUUGUUCUCUUUCUUCUGUUGGAAGCAUACAGACUUUUUUGGCAUUGGGUCUUAGAAUGAUCAAUCACUCACAGGCAAGGUGAAGUUUGUGGGUUGCUUCACUAGAGUGUCCAUGGUUUUACAAUAAAAUUAGGGAUCUCAUACAAUUUUCUCUGCAUAGUUUGUGAUUAUGUAUUUUGAAGCUAAAUGAUAAUCUAGUUAAUGUAGGUUUUGGAUUAUCCAUUGCUUUUGAAAAAUUUUUAAUGGUUUACAUCAUAUCUGGUGCAUGGACCAUGGUUAGCUUAGCUACCGAUUCUAUAGUUUGUUAUUCUUUGAGAGUAUAAGUGGAAACAUGAUUUUGUUUCUGUUACCAGAGUGGGCACGAUAAUCUAGCAUCUUGACAUACGGCUGUUUAUGUGUUUAGUUGUUCAAAAUGAAGCGCUAGUAGUGUUGGCCCUGGGAAGAGCAGGAAUCAUCUUUGGUCCACUUAAUUCAGAGUGUGCAUAGGUACAACGAAAAUCAUGAGGUUAGAAAAGGAAAUAAUCAAAUUGUCGUUCCUCAAUUGAUAGCAUAUGGCUAACUGUUGUUGUUUAGUUAUAUGUAUGCAUCUCAUUGCAAAUGUCUUUGUAGUAAAAGAGUUAAAGAGAGCUUCAUAUACAGGGAUUAAGAUGUGUUUUUAGUACUGUAAGGCGCAUGUCUCCAACUAGAUACUUCGAUUAGUCGUAGUGGAGAACGUUCCAAGAUGUAAUUUGUGAAGAUAGAUAAAUCAUUUAGUACCACGGUUAGUAGCAGAUGUGCCGUUACAUGUGUUUUAUGUGUACAUAACAGCUCCAAAUCCAAUGUCUUUUAGGUAGCAUGUAAGGAUUCUUAGGUUGGAUAUGAUUAAAGUUCAUUUUGCAUUCAGAAACUUCAAUUCAUUCCCUAAGGCCUUUUAGCUUUAUCAAGAACCGUAUACUUUUGUAUUCUCUUACGUAUUUCUGCAUAGCAGAGGGCCCAAGUUCUUUAUGUACAGGCAUGAUGAAAUCUUUCACCUAGAAAAAUUUUGCCACAGAUGUUUAGCAGGGAGCCCCAGCUUGGACACAAUAUGAGAUUGAGUUCAUCUGCCCUGUUAGAGCUAUAGGUGUACUAACAUAUAUCUUUAUGGGUAAUAAUGAUGGGAAUUUUUAACUCUAGAAGUGAAGUUAAAAUUUUGUCUCAUGUUCUAUUUAUUUAGUUAUUAACUUUUAAAUACAAUUUAAAAUCUAUGGUAAAAUCUCAAUCUCGUAGAAAAUUUUUAAUGUCAGUCCUAAAUAAUUAUCAUUGUUUCCCCAUACGAUUCUUUGUUCUUUCCAUUUGAACCUUCCAAGGUAUUUCUUGUUGUAAUGUGGUGUGUUCUUGGGGUCCGCAAUUUUAAUGGCUUGGACCUACUGGACCUUGGUUCUAUGAAAAUUGAAAUUGUGGCUGACGAGAUUCUCUGGUGUGAUGCAAGUUAAUGACUUGGUUGACUUAAAUUAAAAUUUAACCAUCUCUUUUUAGGGUUGAGUUCAUUGAGUUUGACCGGAUUGUUAAGUUUCCUUGAUAAUUUGUUUUGCUUUGGUUAUAUUAAUUUUGGGUUUAUUUUGAUCAAAUGAGUUGUUUCACAGUUUUUUAUUAAAUAUUUUUAAAAAUAAAUGAAAUUUUCAAGUAAAUAAAAAAUAUCGGUAAACUAGUUUAGGUUGGUUUUAAGAUUUCUUUGAAACUAUGGAACUUGCUUGCUUUGUUCCAUGUUUAUCAAUAUAUAUUUGAGGUGGCAAGUAUAUAUUUAUGUUUUGGAUUUUGCAGAUCUUGCAAUGUUUUAGGAAUUGGAUUGGUUGAACUGUCUAAUAGUUGGUUUUUUUGUUUAAUCGAGCCUUAAACAAAUUUAUAAAUCGGUUUGAUUGAUUUAAUUGUCUGAGCAAAGAAACGAUUUGGUCUAAAUUGGUUUUAUGGGACGGACUGCUAAUUUUAUGGUCAAUUGGUUUGGUUCUGAUAUCGUCUUUUCCCCCGUAAGUCUUCUUUACAAAUGUAAUAGCACAUGAUACGUUUAUAUUGGGUUUUCACUUUCAUGUUAGAUUUUUAUAUUACUAAUAGAACGGGCGAGAGUUAUUUUUGGAGAAUGCAUUUUGUUUUUGAAAAAGUAUUUAGAUUUUUAAUUUACUUUAUUGCCUUUGCUUUGUCAAGGUUACAUGGUACAUGGUAAUGCUUUCAAAUUUUUUGUGUGCAGUUAGAAUUAUGGCAAUUAUUAUAUUAUGAUUAUGGUACCUCAAUACUAAGAUAUAAUUUAUUUUUAAAAUGACUGUGGAUAAUCUUAAAUUCUAAAUUCAAUACUUAUUGAUAUUCAGUUGUGUACUAAAUUUUAAAGAAAAUAAAACAUAAUUUAUAUAAAUUUUAACGGAAAUAUAGAUCGAAGUCCACACUAAACUUCAAUUAAAAUUAUAGCAGAACCUUUAUUUUUAAAAUUAUAAAUAGUUAAUUAAACUUGUUACUUUGACAAUAAACUAAAACAAACGGUGGUUUACUUUCUACCUAACAUUAUAUAAUUAAGUACCUCCAAUUUAUUAAGAUCUAAAGGACAAGCUGAUUGGAAUGCUAAUGAUAUUGGAGCAUUUUUCUUGUCACUUGACCUAGCGACAAUAUAUAUAAUUUUGCUUACAAAGAGGAUAAUUAUUCAAAUCACAAAUGUUGAGUUUUAACAUGAAAGCUAUAUCUAGAGAGUUCCAUUUAUUUCCUCCCAAAAGGCAAAACAAUAAUAUCACUGGCAUAUGUAAUGUUGUUGAUGGGGCAUUUUAUGGAUGAGUGUCUUGUAACGAAAAGUUUUGAGUACAAUCUCGAGUAAACCUUUUACAAAGCUUUCAGAAUAGGUAUCAACAUUUCGGUUGAUUUCAAAAAGCAUCAGGUGAAGUUAAACUUAUUGGAGAGGCGAUUUGAGUAUCCCCUAGAGAAUCUAACAUUCAUUGAUAUUGAUUGUUAUUCAUGCACGUAUAUUUUUUGCUUGAUCAGAGGUAUGUUGAUGUUAAAAAAGUUUUGCAACUUAGUUUAUACAAUUUACCUUAUGUUUUAAUCAAAUUUCUCAACAACUAGUACAUAUAGUUGGGGCUUUUCCAUUUUGGCUUCCAUAUGUAGGGCGUUGUGCAAGGGAAGUAGAGUGGAGAAAGGGAACGUGAAUGGUUGCUAUGUGAUUUUAUAGUAGUGGGGUUGGUAUCUAUCGCGUGUGAAUAUGAUAUGCGAAUUGUGCAAGUAUACACGUCGGAUCAAGUAAUAAAGUGAUAAGUGAGUAUCGUUCCCACAAGGAUUGGAUUGAGGCACUAAAGUGGUCAAGUUAUUAUAAUAAAAUGCUAUUAAUGUUAUGGUAAAGCUAUGGUAAGUAUGCAGUGGCAAUUAAAAGGAAUAAUGAUGUAUGCAAUAUGUGAAAUUAAUGAAUACUUGGAAAUGCUAUGGCAAAACGAGAGUAGGAAUGUAAUGGUAAUUAUGAAAAUGAUUAUAUGAAUAAUAUGUAACUGAACAAAUUAACGACUAAGAAUGCUAUGGAAAAGAUUCUACGGCAAGGGAUAAAGGAUAUACCAUGUUGAUAUGAAAGGUCGGGAUUACUAAGAAUCUACUCUUACUGUCAGGAAUGCCUCAACAAAAUCAUACUUAACCUACUACUCAAAAGAGUUCUAAAGUGGCCUGCUUUUUUCGAAGGUAGAAACCUCAAGUUACCUUACCUGUGUCUAUAGGCCUUUAAUAUGGUACCUUGCAUUGUUUCCUUCUGUAUGAAUGCUGUUCUAUGUCUAGAGUCUACUGUAAGUAUCUGUCGAGUACUUGCUCAUAUCAUUCAACCACGGUCUAACUAAUCUAACCCUUUCAGAAUUUAGAUUAAUUUAAGGGUAUGCUGCAUAGUCAAUUAUGUCUAGGGAUUGCUCACAUACAUUUUAAAGAAUAAAAAAAUUGAAUGAAACACUAAAAUAAUUCAGAUUUAUACUGCAUCCAUUAAAAACAGUUGAAGUUUCAUCAAAGUAACCCUAACCCUAUGAGAUUUAGCUCAUAGGUUGGCAAAUAAAAUUCAAAUCAAACAUAGUUUUCAUCACUAUAAUUCAUGAAGGAAUAGAUUAGAAAUAAUGGAAGAACGUCAGGAAGACAGUGUUCACUUGCCCAAUCCGCACUUCAGCUGCGUAGUGUCCUGAGGUGGUUGAGAGGGGUUGCCUGCGUCUUUCCUCUUUAUGUCUCUAUUCAACCACUACAUUCUAAUUUGCCUAAGGAUAUCUACCUACAGUUUCACACCCUAGGGUUUCCUCAUUUGCUUCUUUUUAAAUUGCUUUCUUUUUUCCUUUUCAGGAUAAUUCCAAUAGCCCUAAGAUUUAUCUUCUCCUUUUUUCUAGGCAAAUUUAUCUGUUACAAGUAAAGUUGGGUUGAAACUGAUAUGCGCUGAAUGCUGACUGGACACCUUUCUAGCAUUGCCACGGCAUACGAGCUAGCAAUCUGACCACUUUUUUUCCCCGACAAAACUUCACUCCUUUAUUUUUUUGUUUCCCAUCCUGCACCUGCCAAUACCAUAAAACACUGUUGAAACGCCGGCACCCCUACGGCGUAGCGGAAAAAUAAAACACCCGGCGAUCCUAACCAUGGAUCCAUGUGUGAGGAACGAAUCGGGGUGAAAAAGGGUUUGAAAAUUACCAAAUGGUGAUUCUGAGUAGACAGCGACGCCUCGGCAAUGAGUAAUCUGAUCUACUAUUGAACCAAGCCGCAAUCUUUGAUGACUCCGACCUCUACAUAGUCCACCCAGUUGACUAUGAACGGAAGGAAUCCCCAAACAAUUUUGGAGAAGACUUUACUUUGACGGCUGCUAGACUCACCAAGCAAAGAAAAACGAGAUUUUAUAUCUUAUUAUUUUUUUACGGUUUCUCAAAAUUAAAUAAAUAUAAUAAUGUUUAAAAAACUAAAAAUUAUAAUUACAUUAAUUAUAAUAAAGAUUUCGGUAAACUAUAUUUAUUUAUAUACGAACCAAAAUCAUAUUCUCAUUAUGUGUACAACAACCUUGUACAUAUAAUGUGUUCGAUAUUUAAUUACCCAAUUAAAUUAAUUCUAUAAUUAAUUUAAUUCAUGCGACAACCAAACACAAUACCAAUUAUGUUUUAUUCCGUUCAUUUCAACUAUAGGGUGUGACCCUGUAGGUUCUUGUAACGUUAGCAGUAAUGUUAGAACGAUUCCAAUGUUACAGACAAUGAGUGGCACCUAGAAAUGCAUCAUUGCUACCUAAGUCACAAGAAAUCAUGAUUCGACAUAACCUUUUUAUGAUUAAUCUUUUAAUGCACUAAUCCUUAAAUCCUUUAUCUCUGGAUUGAACACAAGUCAUGGAAUAGUCACACUUGUAUAGUCCAUUCCAUGUUCCUUGAUAUCUUAAGUAGACUAUGAUAUACAAAUAAGUAUGACAUCUCAUAUCAGCUUAUUUGAGCAUGGCCAUGCAUUUCUAGUCUCACUCAAUCAAGUGGCCUGAGAUAUUACUCUCAUUAUGUAAGAGGGACUUAUCUUAUAUCGAUCAACCAUAUCCCUCUACAAAGACUGUGGUAUAUCCAACAUCAGCCUUUAUAGAACAACCAGUUACGGUGUACGUUUGACUGUAUCAAAAUAUACAACUCAUGAUGUUGGGAUUAUGAUAAUCUCAAGUCUGAGGAUCAUAUACAUAUUAAUCACUAUGAGUAAUGUCGUGACAAUUACAUAAUAAUCCAAGAAACAUACUCAUAACGGGUUAGUCCAAUAUGUUGUUCUCUAACACACAUAUUCAUGCAUCGAUUCUGACAUUCCAUAUCAAUGACAACUCUUUAUCAUCAAUCAACUACAUGUUAGUCUUAAUGCAUUAUCGUUGUCCUUUUAAGAAUAAUCAUAUUAUUCUCAAGACAUUAUUAUAAAAUAGUUUAUUUAUACACACAGAAAAGAAACCGAAAUAAUAAUGGUAACGCCUUAUAUUAAUAAACAUGAUAAAUCAAGUAUGUUAUUACAACCAUCUCAUGAUUGAUCUUUGGGCAUACUCUAACAAACACAACCCUUCCACGAGCAAUUAAAAACACCUAAUAUUUAAACGCAACCCAAGUUCUAAUGCAAUGCUAAAAAUACUAAUGAAAUGUCCUAAAAUGCAACUAGAUGUACUUAAGUACAGGCAAUUAACUAGGUCCAAAGGCAUAAAAUACGACUCUUUUUAAGAGUUAUCAGUAUCGACUUUCUUUUAUUGUGCUACCUUUUUUAAACCUCAAUUUUCCUUUAACCAUAAAUCCAUUGUUUUUUAAAUGUUUUAUAUCUAUACUAAAAUUUUGUAAUUUAUUAGUUGGUUCAAACACUAUGAAUAUAAAACAUGCAAGAAGGACAAUUUGGUAUCAAUAGAAGAAGCAAUUGAUGGGUUGUGUUCUUUGUGGCCAAAUUCAUUUAGUUUAAUUAAUAUCACCUUAUAAUAAAAUUUAAUGUUUCUUUAUAUUUAAAAUUUAUAUGGAUAUUGUACCAAGCUAAAGAAAUUGCAACCUUACUAUCAUUGGAGGCACGUGCGUACAACCAUGCUUUUACCAUUUGCACGUCGCUUAUUUACUUUUCUUGUACAGAGUGGCAUCAACCAGAUCAGAUAUUAUAACUGUUUGGGAUGGUUCAAGGACUUCUGGUAGAUGUAGAGAACAUGGAUGACUAUCAUCCUAUAAAUUUGUGUUUGAGGUUGGAGUGCCACUAUGCCAUUUGAUUCGUACAACAUGUGGCACAUUGGACCGAUUGUCUCCAACAUUAGCCACAAGUUACAUUUAUUGAUACGAUAAUUUUACAUAUUUUGAGAUAUAUAUAUGGAAUGAUUUAAGGCCAAUGGUAAACCAUACAUGUAUUUCUUAGGAGAGACUUUAUUAUCUCGAAAUGAUCAUCCAUUUUUCAAACAUUAAAGGAGGGAUAUGUAAGCACAAGCCCAACAUGUUGUUAUAGGCCAAGUUAGAGGAGGGAGGGAUCUACAACCAUGUUGUGGCAUAGGCGUACCCGUCGUCUCAAGGGUUGGUGAUGGGAAAAAUGGUUAUGGUUGGGACUGAGGUCAAGGAAUAAGGCCUUACCCACCCGAUGAUCAAUACAAAUAUGAGAUGCUACAGUAACACUUUUAAGCUUAAACCAAAAAUUUUCCUUUGUAAAAAUACUUGUUUCGCAACAUAUUAAUUUUUUUAAAUCAAAUUGGUGAGGUUUAAGAAGAUUCACAUAUGAUUAUAAAUCAUUUCGGGUCAUUAGGUACAUAUAGAGACAUCCAAAUUAUAAAACAAGUGUUUGAAGUUCUUUUACUUAAAUCAAGGUCUUUUGGCUUGAGAAGGAUAGGAGUUUUACAAUAGCUUAAAAAUUAAAAUAAUUAAAUAAAAUUAUUGAAAUAAGAUAAAUAAUUUUGAAGGCUUUGAAAUCAUUUAGAAACUUUUUGUAGGUGACCAAAGGCUUCUAAGGUCAAGUAUGAGCUCCAGGCCGCUCAAAACAACCAAAAUAGUGCAAGGGACCGUGCUUAAGGGCUAGGUAUCAUACUUUUUAUUACCCAUUUUUUUAUGAGAAACAUACAAGUUCAUUAUUUUUUCUCUCCAAUUAAAUCUUAUGGCUCAUAGUUUAACUUAUGUUAAAAACAAACCUUUGUUGACUUAUCUCAAAUUCAAUUUGUGUUACAAGUUAAAAGAACCUAAUAUCAUGACAUAUUUAAAUUUUAGCUCAAGUACCUAACACUUUUAUUUUCAUCAAAUGAUUUAUAUUCACAAUAAAAUUUCAUUAUUAAUAUUUUAAAACUUUUUCACCCUUAGCAAAUACUAGAAAAAUGAGAUUCAAAUACUUUGGUACCAUCUAGAACACACAAAGAGCAUGAUACAUGCACGAAUGGACUGAAAUUUAUUAAAUUUCAUUCAUCGAAGCUACUAAUUUCAAGUUUGAAAAAUCAAUCGACUUGCGAAGACUUUUUGGAUGGGAUCCAAAAAUUUUUAGGUUGAGAUGUCUUUAUAGAGUUUGAAGAUCUAUCCCUUAGCCUCAAAACACACUUUAAAUCUGAUGCGAGUCUCAAGGCCCAAUUUCAAGCUUAUGGAUGUGAAGGGCUUAUGUUACCUCAAGGCCCAAUAAUAAGAUCAAAGGCCAAGCAAAUCAAACUAAGAUUCAAUUAAAGACAAUACGUGAGGAUGAAUCUUUUCGAGGAGAGGGGGAAUGAUACAUGCACGGAAUGUGUGAAAUUUAUUAAAGUCAAUCCAAACAAACUACCAAUUUUCAAUUUGAAAAGAUUAGUCAACUUGGGACAAUUUUUUGGAAUUUUUGGCUAAGAUCCAAACAUUUAUGGGCUUAGAUGUCUGAAUAGUGGUUGAAGAGCUAUCUCUUAGCUUCAAAACACACUUUGAAUCACUCGAUUUUGAGUUUGGAAGCUCAAGUUAUGACAGUUUUAGUGAAGACUGCGUGAACAAAAUUUCUAGAUGAGGAUAAUACAGAAAUUAUGAGUUUUAGGCUUUUUAUUCAAGUUUAAAUCAUAUUGGGUUUGAGUUUCAGGCUUAAUUUUUAUUAUACACGAGACAAAUAUUGUAUUUAUUAAGUUUUAUUAUUUAUUUAUGUUGAGUUUUGGAUAAUUUGAAGUAUUAUAAGUUAUUUAAGAGUUUUAUGUCAACAAUAAAGUUUAGUUUAAAACUACUUCUUGUCUAGGUUAAUUAGAGUUUCAGUAUACUUAAGAGUUUUAUUUGGUUUUAUUUAUCUAGCCUAUAUAAAGGUCUCUUCAUUGUAAAAAAUUAUUCAAAAAUCAAUUCAUUCAUUAUUCACUUUGAGUUAAUAAGAUUCUUUUUGAGUUUUCUAUUUAAGAAUUUCUCUUGAGUUCUCUUUUAGAAAAGUUUUAACAAUCUUCUCAAUUUGUGAGGAUCAUCUUCAAGCUUUUUCUUUCUAAGUUUUAUUUCUUUAAGGGAAAAUUAGAGUCAUUCGAAAGGAGUUGUGGAUUCAUCGGGUUUCCAAGGCUCAUUAGAACUUCUACACGCCAUCUUCAUCUUUUCCAUCUAUCUACUUUAUUCUAUUUUGUUCCUAUUUAAUUAUUCAAAAUUUUUAUUUAUUUAAUUUUUCUAUCUUAAUUAUCUAUUUUAAUUUCUUCCUUUAAUUUUUAAAUUUUUAGAUUUGACUUGGAUUUGUUUAUGUUUCAAGUUGUGACAAAAUCCAAGUUUCUCUCCGAUCGUCUAGAGCCCAAAGUCAAAUAUGCGACUUGCACAAAACAUACAAUCCUGUUCCGCACUAAUUCAUAUCAUUUGGUAUAUUGCUUCUUUUAAUUUGUUUAAAUCUAACUUGAAUUUUUUUUGCAUUUCAGGUUGUGUCAAAAUCCAAGUUUCUUUCUGAUCAUCUAGAGCCCUAAGCCAAAUCCAUGACUUCGACAAACUUACGAUCCUAAUCUAUUCUUGUCCCUAUCAUAAUCACUCGAUUUUGAGUUUGGCAUCUCAAUUUAUGGCUGUUUUAGUAAAGACUGUGUGAGAAGAAUUUUUGGAUGGGACCAUUACAAAAAUUACGAGUUUUGGGCUUUUAAUUCAAGUUCAAAUCAUAUUGGAUUCACUAAAAUGGUCAUAACUUGAGCUCCUAAACUCAAAAUUAAGAGAUUCAAAGUGUAUUUCAAACCUAAGAGAUAGAUCUUUGAACUCUAUUGAUGUGAAUCGGCUCAAUAGGUUAAGUUGAGUCAUCUUAAUUGCCCAAUCGUCGACGAGGAAGUAUCGCUCUAAAAAUAAUAGUUGGUUUGUAAUCGGCUAAAUAUGAAGUAAAGUGAUGGAAAAGGUUCAAAAAUAGGUUAAGUUUGAUAUGGAUAGGUUCGGCUAACAAUAAAAUUUGAUAGAUAAUUUGAUGGAUAGAUGAAAUGGAAAUUCAAACUUAAGCGUCAAAAAUGAUCCAACACUAUAGAGGGUGUCGUCCCAAGACCUAUAUUGCUUAAGGUGAUUGAUGGAAAUAGAAGGAUAGACCUCGACUCGUUACUUAGCAAAGUAGGAAUCCAAGGUAUAAAAAGAUGGACGAACGCCACACCAGGAUUAGUGAUAAGUUUGGAAGGAGUUCGGUUGACGCCACUAGCACGCUAGAUAAGUCAAUUCGAGACUCACACGAAAUAUGAGAGAGAGAACCUCACAAGAGCAAUAGUUCAUUAAUAAAUUUGACAAAUAGUUCAUUUACAAUGAAAAUAAACAACUAUUUAUAGCCUAUGCACUAGCUAGCCGAAUGGUCACAAAUAAGUCUUUAAAAACUAAGUAAAAUUCAGCUAGAAUAAGCUGGAAAAUUCCAGAAUAAAAACCAUUAAAAUCCAUAGCAAGAUUCAGCUGAAUGGAGUCCAAAAGACAGCUUCUAGAAUGGGCAAAUGAACCUGGAAAGAUCAAUGGCGCAUGGCAACAGCUAGGUUCGGCCAAUUGAGCUCAUUAAAAUGCAAUUCUUGGCUGAAAAGAUACCAGCAUUAAAGGAGGACGUGGACAGCCUUGAAAGUGUGAAAAAUCAGCUUCUAGAUUGAGCAAUAAACUUGGAAAGAUGAAUGCUUGAGGGAGGCUAAUGGCCAUGUCCAUAUUCAGCCACUUGGGACGCCAAUGGGCAGCUUAAUGAUGAAGAAAAAUUCAGCUGGAUGAACUUGGCUGUAGGGAGGUGAAUGGCUUUGUCUAAAUUUGGCCAAAGCUUGAAAGACACCUCCAAUAGAUGCCUCUUGGUCGAAUGGUCACCUAGGAGAUUCAAAGGAUCAGGAAAAUUCAUGUAGCUAGACAUGCAUGCAUUCUUUCAUUCAUUGUAACUUGCUCUUCAUGCAUUUAGCUCCUUCAUUAAUGUGUUUUUUUUAUUUUGGUAGCCACUCCUUGGCCGAAUAGGUGCUUGGGGAAGUUAACAAUCAGCUCAAGAUUCUUUGAAGAUGGCCAUGCAUGUACCGUCCAAUUCAUUGAACCUAAUAUGCAUGAAUCUUGAUUAAAUGCACCCCAAAUUCGACUCACCUACAAGAACAAAUGAACCAAAAUUAAUUCACAUAAAAUUCCGCUGAACAUGCAUUAAUAUAAUUUUAGACACACUAAUUAACAUAAUAAUUAACUUAUGACAAAUUUAUUAUUAUCUUAACAAGACAAAUUAAAUUCGGCAUUGACUAAGACAUAACAAAAACUUGUAAUAGCUAAGAACAUAUUAAUGAGCUGUAAUAAUACUUUCUAAUUUAUUUUAAAUAAUUAAUUUAUUCCAGCAAGUAAAUUUAGAGAGCUAAAAAAAUCUAAUAACGAGCUCAAUGAGCUGAAUUGAGCUCGUGUGAGCUAACUUGAGCUCGAAUGAACUGAACCACAUGGAAAGUAGUUUGAUUGAGCUGAAAAUGAGCUUCUCGAGCUUUGUUUGAGCUGGGUCGAGCUUGCAAGGAUGGCGAGCCUCGUUUUGUAAGCUGAACCAUGGGCAUUCCUGGCCGAGAUCGUAUCAAUCCCCCAUCUUCAGAAUGACUUGUCCUCAAGUCGAGCUGUUGGUUCACUCAAUCAUAGCUCCUCUUAUAGGGCUUUCUUUGGACGAAUGGGGUGAAUGUCAAAUGAGUCAUCUGAAAUUUAUAGCCAUGAGUUAGCAAGAAGCAAUGCAAACAAAUUUGCAGUCCGAGCAUAAUCAAAACAAGUAUAAUGCAUGCGAAUGGACAGAUGCAAAUCACCAUGUUUACAAUAAGGCAAACAAACUAAUUUACUUGCCGAUGCCUCGUCAAAUGUUCAAUACAAAUAUGGACAUGUUUUAAGGCAUUUAAAUGUCUCAAAUUGUUUCCACAAGUCAUGAUUAAAUCGCGAGUAAUAAAUCGAAUGGUAGACGUAAUUGUCACAAGUAGGUAUUUGAAAAGAUUCGCACAGUCCACGGAGUUGCACAAUCGUACCGUGCAUUAGACGAUUGACUAUAGAUUCACUCACACAUGCAUCAUAAAAGUUAUCAGAAACAAGAAUCUUUUUAUCAACCACCAAAGUAGAUAGAUCAUUAAUGAACAAGAUAGAACAGUCAAGCAAGUCGCGAUCUAAGUGAUUUACAAGAACCAAAGAAACAACACGAUUUUUGUCACCACCCGAAGAGAACAAGGGUGUUUCAAAAAGUUCAGUGGUCUUACCUUUUAAAGUAGGAAAACAAAGAUCGAUUUUACCUUGUUCGAUCAACACAAAUCUUCGCUCCUCAAGGGUAUAGUGUAGUCGAAGCUUCGUGGUUGUGUUGACCUUUGUCAAAUGGAAUGCAAACUUCAUGUACAACCAUAGAAAUUGUUUAAGGCACGAAUACAAAUUGAAAACAAAUUUGGCAAAUUUCGUUACCUUAUUUAAAAACCAAGUAGCAAAACAAUAGAAAUUAUUCGCACAAAAUUUAAGAUGCUUGAUUUUUUCACAAAUCGAACCCAAACAAAUUCCCGGUUUAAACAUGCGAGUUUGAUUACUUAUGCAGAAAUGUAGCAAAGGUUUCAUUAAGUCAAACACACUAAACCAACAGGAUUCGUGUGUCCACAGAAACAAACAUUCAAAACUCUUUACUUCUUUCAAACUAGAUUUGCAAAAACUUGAGGAUUUCAAACAAGGUAGUAAAUGGUUCACAUAAUCACCACAAUUAAUUAAAUUGAGAUGUUUAUAUGGAAAUUCAUUGUUACGCAGAAUCGAGUUUCGCAUUUGCCGAUUAAACACGACUUCACCUUUAAACUUGUCAACGCAAAGAUUUGUUUUGGAAAAGCUCAUCUCACCACCAUUUGAGAUUUCAACAAUAAUCGAUAAAGGAAAAUCAACCAUUUUUGGCACGAAACAUUUACAAAGAUGAAGUCUUUGACAUUAUAUUUACCCACAUUCAAGGAAGAUAGUGGAAAUUCAACUGCUAGGUGUUCCUUACCUAUCUUACCUUCGGGCUCGUGUGGUUCGAUUUCAUCUUCAUCCUUACCUUUUUCGGUCAUGCGAAAAUGUCGCUCGUCAGGAAGGUAUUGAAGUUGAAAAUUAUCGUCACUCAGCCUUUCGAAGACCUAAAAAGAAGGAACAAAUCAAAAGCAAACAUCACGGGGGUUAGUUAAAAUUUCGUUCUCUUUUUCUUGUUCUCGCUCACUAUCUUCAUAUUCUUUCAUUUCUUUUUCAAUAUCUUUUUCUUUUCCAAUUUUUUCUCAAUCUCAAUUUCUUUUUCAAUUUUCUUUUCUUCGUUUUCUUUUUCUCUCACUUUUUCGAUUUCUUUUUCUUUUGAAUUUCUUUUUCUUUUUCGUUUUCUAUUUCUAUUUCUUUUUCACUUUCUAUUUCUUUUUAUUUUUCUUUUUCUUCAUUUUUGUUUUUAUUACAACAUGAGGAUGAUACAAAAGAAUCAAAAAGAUAAUCAUUUGGCUCAAAGAAAGAGAAAAUAUUUUCGUAGGCUUCUCGUACAUUUCUUCGAGAAAAAUCCUUCGGGAAGGACUUUUUUGAUACAUAUAACUAUUGUUUUCUCAUUCGUCAUGUCGAAAAGUUGGAAGCUCGAAGCUGUCGCGUCUUGAAUUCCUUGACGAAUAGGAAUCCCGAUAAGAAUCUCUUAGUGAGUAGUCUUUGGACGUGUAUCACCUUGAUGAUCUCAACUUCGUGUCUCGACUUGGUGGAUUUUAUUUCCGUCGGGCCUUUUCCUCCACUUGAUCCAACCGUCUUUGUAAUGGACUUAGUUUUUCCUCUAACAUUCGGCCCAUCUCGUUCACCAAGUAUUGAAAUUCAUCGGUGGAGAAUUCUUCUCGAGACAUGAUUAUUCACUGAAAGAAGAAAUGUUAAAAGAAUAAUAACAGAAAAUUAGAUACCUCACCAUAAAAUCUCGCAAGUCACUCGGAAAGAAAAUUUCACUCCACUCAUGUUUACGCUCGUUUUGGCUUUUAUUCUCUCGAAUGAAUUCACGCUCUCUUUCCUUUUACCGCUCGUCUCACUCUCUUAAAUUCGUAUUUCGUUUCAAGUAAACUUAUUGCGGCUUAGAGGGUCAGCUUCAAAAUGGUUAAAUAGGGAUAAAAUGAAUGGGGUGGGAUAGGCUGAACAAAGAAAAUAAAACCAAAGUAUGUGUGGCGUUUUGGGGGAAGAAGGAAUGGUAGAAUGAAUGGAUGAUCGGGAAUAACAAGAAAUGAAAACAAAAUAAAACUCGUAAGACUCUCACUUCUUUCUUCUUUUUUUUAAUACUUGUAAUUUUUUUCUCUUUUUUUUGAAUUUUCAUAAUUCCUUUUUUUUACUCUUCAAUUACAAUAUGCUGAAAUACAAAGAAAGAAAAAAAAUUAAAUUACAACUUGAAUUUUUUUCACUUUUUUUACGUUACGAACCUACUUUCGGGCUUGAUACGAACGUCGACACUCAUCGUUUUAGUAGCUCUAAUACCAAAUGAUGCGAACCAGCUCAGUAGGUUGAGUCGAGUCGUCUUAAUUGCCCGAUCGUCGAUGAGGAAGUAUCGCUCCAAAAUAAUAGUUGGUUUGUAAUCGGCUAAAUAUGAAGUAAAGUGAUGGAAAAGGUUCAAAAAUAGGUUAAGUUUGAUAUGGAUAGGUUCGACUAACAAUAAAAUUUGAUAGAUAAUUUGAUGGAUAGAUGAAAUGGAAAUUUGAACUUAUGCGUCAAGAAUGAUCCAACACUAUAGAGGGUGUCGUCCCAAGACUUAUAUUGCUUAAGGUGAUUGAUGGAAAUAGAAGGAUAGACCUCGACCCGUUACUUAGCAAAGUAGGAAUCCAAGGUAUAAAAAGAUGGACGAACGCCACACCAGGAUUAGUGAUAAGUUUGGAAGGAGUUCGGUUGACGCCACUAGCACGCUAGAUAAGUCAAUUUGAGACUCACACGAAAUAUGAGAGAGAGAACCUCACAAGAGCAAUAGUUCAUUUAUAAAUUUGGCAAAAAGUUCUUUUAUAAUGAAAAUAAACAACUAUUUAUAGCCUAUGAACUAGGUAGCCGAAUGUUCACAAAUAAGUCUUUAAAAACUAAGUAAAAUUCAGCUAGAAUAAGCUGGAAAAUUCCAGAGUAAAAACCAUUAAAAUCCUUAGCAAGAUUUGGCUGAAUGGAGUCUAAAGGACAGCUUCUAGAAUGGGCAAAUGAACCUGGAAAGAUCAAUGGCGCAUGGUAAUAGCUAGGUUCGGCCAAUUGAUCUCAUUAAAAUGCAAUUCUUGGCUGAAAAGAUACCAGCAUUAAAGGAGGACGUGAACAGCCUUGAAAGUGUGAAAAGUCAGCUUCUAGAUUGAGAAAUAAAAUUGGAAAGAUGAAUGCUUGAGAGAGGCUAAUGGCCAUGUCCAUAUUCAGCCACUUGGGACGGUAAUGGGCAGCUUAAUGAUGAGGAAAAAUUUAGCUGGAUGAAUUUGGCUAUAGGGAGGCGAAUGGCUUUGUCUAAAUUUGGCCAAAGCUUGAAGGGCACCUCCAAUAGAUGCCUCUUGGUCGAAUGGUCACCUAGGAUGUAACAGCCCGAUUCUUGGCCUAGUCGGAAUAGUGGUUUCGGAACCACAAAUCUGACAAGGGAAAAUAUGGUUAUUAUUAUAUUUUUAUGGUCUACAAUUCCACGAAAAAAUUUCGUAAAAAUUUCGUUCGAAAAUUUCAACGUUUGGGCACUCAAUUUAGUCAAAAGGACUAAAUUGUAAAAAGUGCAAAAGUUGAGUUUUACAUGUAGAAGUGUCUAAUUGUUAUAAAAUUAUAAAUUUGGGGUCCUUAUGUGGUAAUUAGACUAUUAGUUAAUUGAUGGACAAAAAUAGACAUAAGAAAUGGGUGAAAUAGAUUUUUUUUAAAUGGGGGUAUUUUGGUCAUUUGGGAAUAAAAAGAAUAAAAAGGGAAAAAGAUGGCAAAAAUCAUCAUCUUCUCCAUAGUGAACGAAAUCAGCAAGGGGGAAGCCAUAUUUAGGGUUUUCAAGCUUCCAAGAUCCAUAGUAAGUGAUUUCAAGCCCCGUUUUUAAUGUUCUUCACAUUUUUGGAAUCCUCGUAGCUCGGUUUAGCUUAUUUUAUCAAUAAUUCAUGUUAGGGUUCAUAUUUGGAAAAAUACCCAUAGGUGAAAUGUGUUUGUUUUGCCGUUUUAUGGUGGAAUAUGAAGCUAGAAUUUAUGCUAAACAGCUUUUGCUAAGUGAUUUUAAGCAAAAACGAAUAAAUCGACAUAAUCGGUAAAAAUAUUUAUUGUUCAUAAGUGUAUGUUAGAGUGAGAAUUUGAUGUUGCCAUAGAAGGGAAAAGUGUUCAGCAUGUUGUAAAACAUAAGAACAAGGUGUGAAAUUUAAUUUUCGAGCUUGGGGACAAAGAUGUAAUUAUGCAAAAGUUUAGGGACAAAAUUGUAAUUUUUAUAAAAGUUGAGUCGAAGCUUGUUUUAUAAAUGUGAAUAGUAAACAAGCUCAAUUUUCUGUUAUAGAUCAAGAAAGACGAGAAAUCAACCUUAAUCGGGGAAAAGAGAAGAUUGAGGAUUAAAUUGCAAAAUCUUUACAUUUUGUAUCGAGGUAAUUUGUAUGUAAUUAAUACAUUGUUAUAAUUAUUUUUGUUAUAUUUCAUGACAAUAUACGUGAAAGGAUCGAUAUUAUAAUGAGUUUUGGACAAAUUGUAAAUAUAUUUGGACAGUAAGAAUCUUUGUGAAACUGUCGUAAUGGUAAAAAAAUUUGAAUAAGGAUAUCGAUGAACACGUGUGUAGUACUAUGUGAAGGCUACUACGUGUAUCGAUAAAUAAUGGUCACAUGUGUAGUACUAAGUGAAGGCUACUAUGUGUACUGAGAAGUUUUGAGCACGUGUGUAGUACUGUGUGAAAGUUACUACGUGUAUCGGUAAACUAUGGUUACAUGUGUGGUACUAAGUGAAGGCUACUAUGGAUACUGAAAAGCUUUGGUCACGUAUGUAGUACUAUGUGAAGGCUACUACGUGAGCCGUAAAACUUGAUCACGUGUGUAGUACUAUGUGAAGGCUACUACGUGAACUGUAAAACUGAUCUCGUGUGUUGUACUAUGUGAAGGCUACUACGUGUAUCGAAUGAUAAAAAUAAUAUGAGUAGUACUGUGUGAAAAGCUCCGAAUAUUAUUUUUUUAUACCGUCAUGAUGAUGAAAUAUGAGUAUGUGAUUGGAAUGUGAUAAGUUGUGAAAAGUCAUUGAAGUGAUGAAGUUUGAGUUGUGUUAUAAAAUAAAUGGUUAUAGUGCUAUGUGAAUAAGGAAUGUUGGAAUAGAAUAGAUUUGGACAGUGACGGUGAUGUUAGUUUGAAAAAUCACCAAAAAUUUUAGAAAUCGAGUUAGAGGCUGAACUAUAAAUGAAAUUUAAGCUGAAUGAGUCUAUUUUCAUAUGGAAGAAACAGAGUAAGCAAAGGAGUUGUAUAUUGGGGGAUAUUUAAAUUUUAUUGAGACAGGGUUGGAUUAAUUUCGAAAUCCCCUUUUCCAAAUUUGGAAAAUCACCAAAAAUUAUAAAAAAAUAAUUAUGGCUUGAAAUUUACAUUUUUGAAUUCCUUAAUGAGUCUAUUUUUAAGAGAAAUAAAUUAGAACAUUUUUUGAAUUUUGUACAAAGAGUUAAAUAAAUUUUAGUAUGGAGAGGUCAGAACUGUAAGGCAGUGAAAUAGGGGAAGGUUUAAAGAAUAAACUCUACUAAUUUGAUGAACCAAAAAUUAUGAAAAUUUUAUGGUGGAAAUUUAUAUGAGUAUAGUUUUAGGGAAAAUUUUCAAAUCUUAAUUUGGAGUUCUGUAGCUCCGGAUAAAAAUAAUUUAGCGACUAUGAUGCAGAAAAAUAGUUUGCUGGAAAUUGAAUAAAUGAUAGAUUUAUGUGUGAUAGAAAUUUUAUUAUAUAUGAUAUUAUUCUAGAAAUUUAUUUAUCGAUUACAUACAUACUUUCUAAGCUGUAAGCUUACUCCUAUUUAUUUUUCUUUUUUUUAUAGUGAUAUUAAUCAGCUCGGGAAUUGGACGGAGUCAGGACAUCAUCCUCACUAUCAUCAUCAUCUUUUGGGUAUUUUGCAACCAAUACUUUUGAAAAAGGGCAUGUAUAGAUGACUUUAUGUAAUGUGGUAUAAAUAUGUAUAUAUAUAGUAUUGUUCAGUUAAAUAUGUUGGAGUUUAUUAAUGGAUAAAUUAUGUUUGAAUAUAUAUAACUAUAAUUGGUUGAAAAUAUUGAAGUUGGUUGAAAUUGUCUUUGGAAAUCUGCAGGGGGUUUUAUGUAAAAAUAAGCAGAAAUGCUGCCGAAAUUUUUAUAAAAAAAUUUAAGUGUUUGAGUUCUAGUAAUAUCUAAUACUCUGUUUCGGUAAGGAACACGGGUAAGGGGUGUUACAUUUUAGUGGUAUUAGAGCUAUUGUUUAGCCAGUUCUCGGAUUAGUAUAAUGUGCGUAAAAGUCUAUCUAUACAUGCCAUUUAAGUAUUGUGAUAGUGAGAUGAUUUCUGACAAUUUAAAAUUUUGUUUUAUAUAGUAAAUGGAUCUUGACUGAAGUGUCGCAGAUAAUGUUGAAAGUAACGCGCCUGCUCCCGCACAAGGGAUCGCGCAUGAAGAAAGUAGACCUGAGACACAUAGUCAGGAUGAGGCUAGGGAAACUUUCCUUCGAAUGAUGAGUAAUUGGUAUACAGAAUUUGUUCGUGCAAAUCCGAAUGUUCAACCCCCUCCACCCCCUCCUAUUCCUCAACCGGUUCCCGCAGCUCCACAAAAUGUUGACUUGGUAAGAUCAAGUAGGCCUCCCAUUGACAAAAUCCGAAAGCAUGAAGCUGAAGAUUUCAGAGCUAAUAUAGAUGAUGACCCACAGAAGGCAGAGUUUUGGCUUGAAAAUUCCAUUCGGGUAUUUGAUGAAUUGUCUUGUACUCUCGAAGAAUGUUUAAUAUGUGUAAUAUCUUUGUUAAAAGAUUCAGCUUAUCGUUGGUGGAAAACAUUGGUAUUUGUGGUUCCGAAAGAAAGGGUUAUGUGGGAAUUCUUCCAAGAUGAAUUUAGAAAAAAAUACAUAAGCCAAUGGUUCAUCGAUAAAAAACGCAAGGAAUUUCUCGAGUUGAAGCAGUGCCAAAUGUCUGUGGCUGAGUAUGAAAGAGAGUUUGUUAGAUUGAGUAAAUAUGCUCAAGAAUGUGUACCCACCGAAGCUGCUAUGUGUAAAAGGUUUGAAGAUGGUUUAGAUGAAGACAUUAGAAUAUUUGUUGGGAUGUUGGAACUGAAGGAAUUUGUAGUAUUGGUUGAUCAAGCUUGUAAGGCUGAAGAAUUGAAUAAAGAAAAGAGAAAAGCUGCGAUGGAGGCUCGAGAUACAAGAAAGCGGCCUAUGAGUAAACCAUUUCAAACUCAGUCAAAGAAGUCUAAAGAGAUGAAUCCUAAAGUGAGUGCUUCAACUGGAUAUCCACGUCGAGACCGGGGAAAAUUGUAUUUGGGUUCCGAAGCUCAAGCUACAUCGGUAUCAAGUGUGGGUAGUAUGAAGCCUAGUAGACCGGAGUGUCAGCAUUGUGGAAGACAACAUCCUGGCGAAUGCUGGUUAAUUAGCCGGGCUUGUUUCAAGUGUGGUUCUCGACAACAUUAUAUUAAAGAUUGCCCUGAGAAAAUUGAAGAAGAAAAAUUUCAGAAUGUUAGAUCGAGUGAUACUGUCAGCAGAGGUAGACCGUCGAGAAACACCGGAACUAGAGAUAGUGGUAAAAGUGGAAUGAAGGGUACAGCUACAAAAUCAGAACCUCGAACACCUGCUAGAGCUUAUGCUAUAUGUGCUCGUGAGGAUGCAUCAUCUCCCGAUGUAAUUACUGGUACAUUUUCUCUUUAUGAUAUUGAUGUUGUUGCUUUGAUUGACCCUGGGUCUACUCAUUCAUAUGUAUGUGUGAAUUUAGUAUCUAAUAAAAAUUUGUCUGUUGAAAACACUGAAUUUGUUGUAAAAGUAUCAAACCCUUUAGGCAAAUAUGUUUUAGUUGAUAAGGUUUGCAAGAAUUGUCCUUUGACGAUUCAAGGUUACUGUUUCCCGGCUAAUCUGAUGCUCUUACCAUUUGAUGAGUUCGAUGUUAUAUUGGGGAUGGAUUGGUUGAUUUUGCAUGAUGCCAAGGUAAAUUGUAGACAGAAAAUCCUUGAAUUGAAAUGUGGAAAUUGUGAAACUCUUCGGGUUGAAGCGGAGAAGCUGAAUAAACUGCCUAGGGUGAUUUCGCAUAUGUCUGCUCAGAAGUAUAUGAGAAAAGGAUGUGAAGCUUAUCUUUCUUAUGUGUUGAAUACUGGUAUAAUUGGGUCGAAGCUUGAAUCAGUGUCGGUAGUCUCUGAAUUUCUAGAUGUAUUUCCAGAGGAAUUUCCUGGGUUACCUCCGAUUAGAUAAGUUGAGUUCGCUAUCGAUUUAUUACCUAGUACCGCACCGAUUUCUAUUACUCCAUAUCGGAUGGCUCCGACUGAAUUGAAAGAAUUAAAGGCUCAGUUGCAAGAAUUGACGGAUAAAGGGUUUGUGAGACCGAGUUUUUCUCCUUAGGGUGCUCCUGUAUUAUUUGUGAAGAAGAAAGAUUGUUCUAUGAGACUUUGUAUUGAUUACCGUCAGCUCAACAAAGUGACUAUAAAGAACAAGUAUCCCUUGCCGAGAAUUGAUGAUUUGUUUGACCAACUAAAAGAGCGACAGUGUUUUCAAAGAUUGAUUUAAGAUCUGGUUACUAUCAGUUGAGAGUUAGGGAGUCAGAUGUACCAAAGACUGCUUUCAGAACGAGGUAUGGACACUACGAAUUUUUGGUAAUUCCUUUUGGUUUAACUAAUGCUCUGGCUAUUUUUAUGGAUUUGAUGAAUCGAAUUUUCCGAUCGUAUCUGGAUAAGUUUGUGGUGGUGUUCAUAGGUGAUAUUUUAAUUUAUUCUUGGGAUGAAUCCGAGCAUGCAGAACAUUUGAGAACUGUGUUGCAGAUUCUGAGGGAGAAGAAAUUGUAUGCUAAAUUCAGCAAAAGUGAGUUUUGGCUUCUUGAAGUUGGAUUCUUGGGACAUAUAGUUUCAAGUGACGGUAUUCGGGUUGAUCCAAACAAAGUUUCAGCACUUGUUGAUUGGGAACCACCAAAGAAUGUAUUCGAAGUUAGAAGCUUUCUGGGCUUAGCCAGGUAUUACAGACGCUUUGUCAAGGGAUUCUCUAUGAUUGCUUCUCCUAUGACCAAGUUAUUGCAAAAGAAUGUCAAGUUUGAAUGGAUCGAUAAAUGUCAACAAAGUUUUGAGAAAUUGAAGGCUUUAUUGACAGAGGCACCAGUGUUGGUACAAUCCGAGUCAGGGAAGGAGUUUGUAGUUUACAGUGAUGCAUCAUUGAAUGGUCUUGGAUGUGUGUUAAUGCAAGAGGGCAAAGUAAUAGCUUAUGCUUCGAGACAGCUGAAACCGCAUGAGAAGAAUUAUCCAACGCAUGAUUUAGAGUUGGCUGUCAUUGUUUUUGCUUUAAAAAUUUGGCGCCAUUACUUGUAUGGUGAGAAGUGCCGAAUCUUCACUGAUCAUAAGAGCUUGAAAUAUUUAAUGAAUCAAAAAGACUUGAAUUUGCGACAAAGAAGAUGGCUUGAGCUAAUAAAAGAUUAUGAGCUAGUGAUUGAUUAUCAUCCUGGAAAAGUUAAUGUGGUUGCUGAUGCCUUGAGCAGAAAAUCUUUAUUUGCUUUGAGAGCUAUGAAUUCGAGAUUAACUUUAUCUGAUGAUGGUUCAAUUUUGGCUGAAUUGAGGGCUAGACUGUUAUUUCUUCAGCAAAUUCGGGAAGCUUAAAAGAAUAACAGUAAAUUGCAAGCCAGGAAGGCUCAGUGCGAAGCAGGUGUUGACUCAGAUUUUUGAAUUAGAUCGGAUGAUUGUCUGAUGUUCCGGGACAGGGUAUGUAUACUGAGAAAUGAUGAGUUAAUUCGGACAAUUUUAUGUGAGGCACACAGUGGUGAUUUGUCAGUUCACCCAGGUAGUGUGAAAAUGUAUAAUGAUUUGAAGAAAUUGUAUUGGUGGCCGGGCAUGAAAAAGGAUAUCUCUGAAUUUGUAUCAAAGUGUUUAAUUUGCCAACAAGUGAAAGCUGAGCAUCAAGUACCAUCGGGUUUACUCCAACCGGUAAUGAUUCCAGAGUGGAAAUGGUACAGCAUCACGAUGGAUUUUGUGACAGGAUUACCUCUAUCUCCAAUGAAGAAGGAUGCUAUUUGGGUGAUCGUUGAUAGAUUGACAAAGUCGGCUCAUUUUAUACCGGUACGCAUAGAUUACUCACUUGAUAGGUUGGCGGAGCUAUAUGUUGCUGAAAUUGUGAGAUUGCACGGGGUGCCUUAGUCCAUUAUAUCGGAUAGAGAUCCGAGGUUUACUUCGAGGUUUUGGAUAAAGUUACAAGAGGCCCUGGGUACAAAAUUGAACUUUAGUACUACAUUCCAUCCGCAAACCGACGGACAAUCUGAAAGAGUGAUUCAAGUUCUUGAAGACAUGCUCCGAUGCUGUAUUCUAGAAUUUGAAGGCAGUUGGGAGAAAUAUAUACCAUUGGUUGAAUUUGCUUACAACAAUAGUUAUCAGUCGAGUAUACGAAUGACACCGUAGGAAGCAUUAUAUGGACGUAAGUGUAGAACACCUUUGUAUUGGACUGAGCUCAGUGAGAAUCAGAUUCACGGAGUUGAUUUGGUGAAGGAAACUGAAGAAAAUGUGAAAGUAAUUCGUGACUGCUUAAAGGCUGCUUCAGAUCGACAAAAGUCAUAUGCGGAUUUAAAGAGAAAAGAAAUUGAGUUUCAAGUGGGUGAUAAAUUGUUCUUAAAAGUAUCUCCGUGGAAGAAGAUUUUGAGAUUUAGCCGUAAAGGCAAAUUAAGUCCACGUUUUAUUGGACCGUAUGAAGUUAUUGAAAGGAUUGGACCCGUAGCUUAUCGGUUAGCCUUGCCAGCAGAGUUGGAAAGAAUACAUAAUGUAUUUCAUGUAUCGAUGUUGCGACGCUAUCGUUCAGAUCCUUCACAUAUAGUUUCUCCUACAGAGAUUGAAGUUCGACCAGAUAUGACUUAUGAGGAGGAACCAAUAAUGAUUUUAGCUCGAGAGGUCAAACAAUUAAGGAAUAAGAGUGUAGCUUUAGUAAAAGUGUUGUGGAAAAAACAUGGGAUGGAAGAGGCUACGUGGGAACCGGAGGAAGCUAUGAGGAAAAACUACCCAAACCUCUUUUCCGGUAAGAUUUUCGAGGACGAAAAUCCCUAAGGGGGGAGAAUUGUAACAGCCCGAUUCUGGGCCUAGUCGGAACAGUGCUUUCGGAACCACAAAUCUGACAAAGGAAAAUAUGGUUAUUAUUAUAUUUUUAUGGUCUACAAUUUCGCGAAAAAAUUUCAUAAAAAUUUCGUUCGAAAAUUUCGACGUUUGGGCACUCAAUUUAGUCAAAAGGACUAAAUUGUAAAAAGUGCAAAAGUUGAGUUUUACAUGUUAGAAGUGUCUAAUUGUUAUAAAAUUAUAAAUUGGAGGUCCUUAUGUGGUAAUUAGAAUAUUAGUUAAUUGAUGGACAAAAAUAGAUAUAAGAAAUGGGUGAAAUAGAUUUUUUUAAAUGGGGGUAUUUUGGUCAUUUGGUAAUAAAAAGAAUAAAAAUGGAAAAAGAUGACAAAAAUCAUCAUCUUCUCCUUAGUGAACGAAAUCAGCAAGGGGGAAGCCAUAUUUAGGGUUUUCAAGCUUCCAAGAUCCAUAGUAAGUGAUUUCAAGUCCCGUUUUUAAUGUUCUUCGCAUUUUUAGAAUCCUCGUAGCUCGGUUUAGCUUAUUUUAUCAAUAAUUCAUGUUAGGGUUUAUAUUUGGAAAAAUACCCAUAGGUGAAAUGUGUUUAUUUUUCUAUUUUAUGGUGGAAUAUGAAGCUAGAAUUUAUGUUAAACAACUUUUGUCAGCGAUUUUAAGCAAAAACGAGUAAAUCGACAUAAUCGGUAAAAAUAUUUAUUGUUCAUAAGUGUAUGUUAGAGUGAGAAUUUGAUGUUGCCAUAGAAGGGAAAAGUGGUCAUCAUUUGUAAAACAGAAGAAUAAGGUGUGAAAUUUAAUUUUUGAGCUUGGGGACAAAGAUGUAAUUAUGCAAAAGUUUAGGGACAAAAUUGUAAUUUUUAUAAAAGUUGAGUCGAAGCUUGUUUUAAUAAAUGUGAAUAUUAAACAAGCUCAAUUUGCUAUUAUAGAUCAAGAAAGACUAGAAAUCAGCCUUAAUCGGGGAAAAGAGAAGAUUGAGGAUUAAAUUGCAAAAUCUUUACAUUUUGUAUCGAGGUAAGUUGUAUGUAAUUAAUACAUUGUUAUAAUUAUUUUUGUUAUAUUUCAUGACAAUAUAUGUGAAAGGAUCGAUAUUAUAAUGAGUUUUGGACAAAUUGUAAAUAUAUUUGGAAAGUAAGAAUCUUUGUGAAACUGUCGUAAUGCUAAAAAAAUUUGAAUAAGGAUAUCGAUGAACAAGUGUGUAGUACUGUGUGAAGGCUACUACGUGUAUCGAUAAAUAAUGGUCACAUGUGUAGUACUAAGUGAAGGCUACUAUGUGUACCGAGAAGUUUUGAGCACGUGUGUAGUACUGUGUGAAAGCUACUACGUGUAUCGGUAAACUAUGGUUACAUGUGUGGUACUAAGUGAAGGCUGCUAUGGAUACCGAAAAGCUUGGUCACGUAUGUAGUACUAUGUGAAGGCUACUACGUGAGCCAUAAAACUUGAUCACGUGUGUAGUACUAUGUGAAGGCUACUACGUGAACUGUAAAACUGAUCUCGUGUGUAGUACUAUGUGAAGGCUACUACGUGUAUCGAAUGAUAAAAAUAAUAUGAGUAGUACUGUGUGAAAAGCUCUGAAUAUUAUUUUUUUAUACUGUCAUGACGAUGAAAUAUGAGUAUGUGAUCAGAAUGUGAUAAGUUGUGAAAAGUGAUUGAAGUGAUGAAGUUUGAGUUGUGUUAUAAAAUAAAUGGUUAUAGUGCUAUGUGAAUAAGGAAUGUUGGAAUGGAACAGAUUUGGACAGUGACGGUGAUGUUAGUUUGAAAAAUCACCAAAAAUUAUAUAAAUUGAGUUAGAGGCUGAAUCAUAAAUGAAAUUUAAGCUGAAUGAGUCUAUUUUCAUAUGGAAGAAGCAGAGUAAGCAAAGGAGUUGUAUAUUGGGGGAUAUUUAAAUUUUAUUGAGACAUGUUGGAUUGAUUUCUAAAUCCCCUGUUCCAAAUUUGGAAAAUCAACAAAAAUUGUACAAAAAUAAUUAUGGCUUGAAAUAAACAUUCUUGAAUUCCUUAAUGAGUAUAUUUUUAAGAUAAAGAAAUGAGAACAUUUUUUGAAUUUUGUACAAAUAGUUAAAUAAAUUUUAGUAUGGGGAGGUCAGAACUGUAAGGCAAUGAAAUAGUGGAAGGUUUAAAGAAUAAACUGUACUAAUUGGAUGAACCAAAAAUUCUUAAAAUUUUAUGGUGGAAAGGUAUAUGAGUCUAGUUUCAGGGAAAAUUUACAGAUCUUAAUUUGGAGUUCCGUAGCUCCAGAUAAAAAUAAUUUAGCGACUGUGACGCAGAAAAAUAGUUUGCUGGAAAUUGAAUAAAUGAUAGAUUUAUGUGUGAUAGAAAUUUUAUUAUAUAUGAUAUUAUUCUAGAAAUUUAUUUAUCGAUUACAUACAUUCUUUCUAAUCUGUAAGCUUACUCCUCUUUAUUUUUCUUUUGUUUUAUAGUGAUAUUAAUCAGCUCAGGAAUUGGACGGAGUCAGAACAUCAUCCUCAUUAUCAUCAUCAUCUUUUGGGUAUUUUGCAACCAAUACUUUUGAAAAAUGGCAUAUAUUGAUGACUUUAUGUAAUGUGGUAUAAAUAUGUAUAUAUAUAGUAUUGUUCAGUUAAAUAUGUUGGAGUUUAUUAAUGGAUAAAUUAUGUUUGACUAUAUAUAACUGCAAUUGGUUGGAAAUAUUGAAGUUGGUUGAAAUUGUCUUUGGAAAUCUACAGGGGGUUUUAUGUAAAAAUAAGCAGAAAUGCUGCCGAAAUUUUUAUAAAAAAAAAAAUUUAAGUGUUUGAGUUCUAGUAAUACCUCAUACUCUGUUUCGGUAAGGAACACGGGUAAGGGGUGUUACAUUUUAGUGGUAUCAGAGCUAUGGUUUAGCCGGUUCUCGGAUUAGUAUAAUGUGUGUAAAAGUAUAUUUAUACAUGCCAUUUAAAUAUUGUGAUAGUGAGAUGAUUUCUGACAAUUUAAAAUUUUGUUUUAUAUAGUAAAUGGAUCCUGACUAAAGUGUGGUAGAUGAUGUUGAAAGUAAAGCGUCGGCUCCCGCACAAGGGACCGCGCAUGAAGAAAGUAGACAUGAGACACAUAGUCAGGAUGAGGCUCGGGAAACUUUCCUUCGAAUGAUGAGUAAUUGGUAUACAGAAUUUGUUCGUGCAAAUCCGAAUGUUCAACCCCCUCCACCCCCUCCUAUUCCUCAACCGGUUCCCGCAGCUCCACAAAAUGUUGACUUGGUAAGAUCAAGUAGGCCUCCCGUUGACAAAAUCCGAAAGCAUGAAGCUGAAGAUUUCAGAGCUAAUAUAGAUGAUGACCCACAGAAGACAGAGUUUUGGCUUGAAAAUUCCAUUUGGGUAUUUGAUGAAUUGUCUUGUACUCCCGAAGAAUGUUUAAAGUGUGUAAUAUAUUUGUUAAAAGAUUCAGGGGGUUUUAUUUAAAAAUAAGCAGAAAUGCUGCCGAAAUAUUUAUAAAAAAAAUUAAGUGUUUGAGUUCUAGUAAUACCUCAUACUCUGUUUCGGUAAGGAACACGGGUAAGGGGUGUUACAUAGGAGAUUCAAAGGAUCAGGAAAAUUCAUGUAACUAGACAUACAUGCAUUCUUGCAUUCAUUGUAACUUGCUCUUCAUGCAUUUAGCUCCUUCAUUAAUAUGUUUUUAUUUUGGUAGCCACUCCUUGGCCGAAUAGGUGCUUGGGGAAGUGAACAAUCAGCUCAAGAUUCUUUGAAGAUGGCCAUGCAUGUACUGUCCAAUUCAUUGAACCUAAUGUGCAUGAAUCUUGAUUAAAUGCACCCCAAAUUCGACUCACCUACAAGAACAAAUGAACCAAAAUUAAUUCACAUAAAAUUCAGCUGAACAUGCAUUAAUAUAAUUUUAGACACACUAAUUAACAUAAUAAUUAACUUAUGCCAAAUUUAUUAUUAUCUUAACAAGACAAAUUAAAUUCGGCAUUGACUAAGACAUAAUAAAAACUUGUAAUAGUUAAGAACAUAUUAAUAAGUUGUAAUAAUACUUUCUAAUUUAUUUUAAAUAAUUAAUUUAUUCCAGCAAGUAAAUUUAGUGAGCUAAAAAAAUCUAAAAACGAGCUCAAUAAGCUAAAUUGAGCUCGUGUGAGCUGACUUGAGCUCGAAUGAGCUGAACCACAUGGAAAGUAGUUUGAUUGAGCUGAAAAUGAGCUUCUCGAGCUUUGUUUGGGAUAGGUUGAGCUUUCAAGGAUGGCGAGCCUCGCUUUGUAAGCUGAACCACGGGCAUUCCUGGCCAGGAUUGUAUCAUCUAUGAAGACAUCUUAACCCAGAGAUACUUAGAUCCCAUUUAAAAAGUCAUCACAAGUCGGUUGAUUUUCCAAACUUGAUAAUUGAAAAUUUCGGGGAAUGGAAUUUAAUAAAUUUCAUUCCAUCUGUGCAUGUAUCAGAGCAAGUAAGUGAUUCACUCUAAGGCGACACAAUAUAUCUCUCCUAAAAACACCAAAAAGUAUCAAAAUUUUGUGCUCAAAGGCAACAUAUCACUUCCAUCCAAACACAUCAGAGAUCACCGAAGUGCUGAUCCCGAAGACAACAUAUCACAUCCCUCCAAAACACACUAGAAAGAACCAAGGUGUUAGGCCUAAAGGAAACAAAUCACAUUCUUAUUGGCAUGAAAAUUGUAUCGUAACAUUUUCACUAAGUUUACUAUGACUCAUUAUAAUAAAAGGCACCUAUCUUGUAACACCCUUCACUCGUCACUGUCAUUGGAUUAGGGUUAAAGAUGCUACGAUAAUUAAUAGGAGAAACACAUGCCAUUUCAAUUCAAAAUUUAUCUUUAAACUAACACCAAUAUAUAACUAGACAAUAAUUAAGCUAUUCAUGCAAAAACGAGGCUUAAAUCGAGGUUCUAAAACUCAAAAAUCAAUUCAGAAAUAAGAAGGGACUAAUUCGAAACAAAACAAAAAGUAAGGUAAAAAUAUAAAACAAGGGUCACAUGGCUGUGUAACAAGUUUGCCGUGUGUGCUAUGGGAUAUGGUCUUGUUGUUCAACUGUAUGUGAGGACUAAAACCGUGUGGAAGGAGACACACGACUGUGUCUUCCAACCGAACGACUAACUAUGGCCGUGUGUGCAAAAUGAAAACUAAAACUACACAGACCACAUAACCUUUCCAAGAACCCGUGUAUGGCACACAGCCGUGUUUCAGCCUGUGUGAGCUGCAAUGUACCUUCAAUAACAAGUCAAUCAUUUCAUGCUUACUUAAGCUACAAGUAUACCAUUUACCAAUCAUUCAACCUAUUCAAAUCACACCAAAAAAUUACUAAAACAUGCAAUUUGCCUAGUUCUAACCAAUAUGCCUUAGGGCACUGUCACAAGCAACAAUCCAAACUAACAUCCAGUGUCAUUUUCUAACCAAUUCAAGCUUGCCUAACAAUGUUAUACAAAAUGCCAAAUAUCACCAAUUCAUUCACACCCAACAAAACAUAUAUCAAAGUGUAUAUAUUGGCAUGUAUCCAACAACAACCAUACCAAUUCACCUAAUCAACUAAAACAUCUCAAAUCAACAAUCAAAGUACUAACCAUUAAACAAGUAACCAAAGACCAACUAAACAUAUAUGGCAUUCAAUAUUCCAUCAACCAUGAAAUUAACCAUUUAAACCCAUUUCAACUAUUUUAUCUUCACAUACCACAUCAACCAUAAUCAACCACAUCAUUAUAUUAACAAAUUCACAUGGCUAGGAAAUCUCAAACAUACUUUAAAUACAUCAAACACUUAUGUACAUAACUUCAGUCCUAUUGCAGUUCUAUUACAUGCCACAUAUCCCAAAAUAUAUGUUUUCAAAGUCUACAGAAAGAUAGCUGGAUAGUAUGAUCCUCAACUUGAUCCGAUUGCCUGAUUCCACAAAAUGAUAUCUACAAGAGAACAGGAAAAAAAACAACAUGAGUAAGCUUCAAGGAGCUUACUAAGUUCAUAGGUUGAAACAAUAUAAAUUACCUUGAAAACAUGUUUAAUAAUUAAAAAACUCUUUAACUAAUAUUAACUCUAUCAACCACAAGCAUUCAACAGGUGAGGUUCAUAUACAUGAGUCGUUUAAUCAUCCCAUUUGUACGAUAUCAAACAUUAUCAAGUCACAAUAUAAUAUCUAAAAUCAUGAAAAUUUAUACAAGUAAUUAAUAAGGCAUCAUAACCAAACAUCAAUUACAUAUCAUCACCAUGUCAUUUAACCAUUAAAAAUCUGCCUGAUGACCGAUAUAAACAGAUACGGAUACGCAGUUAUCCACCAAAGACACGCUAAAAUGCUCAACUAAGCCAAUCUAACCAAGAACACGCCUGGACACCAAGUGGCUAGCCCGUAGGCUAACAUCCCUCUAUAAACACAAUUGGGCACCAAAUUCCAAGCCCGUAGGGUAACACCCCUUACCCGAGACCGUUGCCGGAGUCGAGCAUGAGGCGUUACCUGACUUAACUUACUAGUUCGGAGCAUAAAAAAAGUUGCUUUUAAAAUUAAUUCACUCACAUUCAAUUAAUAUGUCCCUAAAAAGGAUCCUCGAGACCCUUAAACAUGCAAUAGAAAUGGUUCGGGUCCAAACUGAGACCAUUAAAAAUUUUCCGAUUACUUAAACAAAUCAAAAUAAUUUAUUUCACUAUUCACAAUAAAACUGUCCACCUGCACAGCAGUCACUAAAUUAAAUAUAACUCAAGUUAAAAAACUCAAAAUUUAGAUCGGUAAAUUUUAUCCAAAACUAGACUCAUAUACCUUAUUAUCAUAAAAUUUUCAGAAUUUUUGGGUUGGCCGAUUAGUACAGUUUAUUAGUUAAAGUCUCCCCUGUUUCAGUGUUUGACUGUCCUAACCUCUCAUCACUAAAAAAUAAUUAUCUCAUUUUAUAGUCUUCAUAUGGUGCUACCACUUGUUUCUACUGAAAAUAGACUCAAUAAGUAAUCAAAUCAUAUGAAUUAUAACUUCUAAUUAUUUCUGUAAAAUUUUUAAUGAUUUUCUAAAUUUAGAACAGGGGACUUCAGAAUCCAUUCUGACCCUGUCUCACUAAAAUUCAAAUAUCUCAUAAUAUAAAAUUCCUUUACAUGCACUGUUUCUUUAAUAUGAAAAUAGACUCAAUAAUAUUUAGUUAUAUAUCUUAUUAACUCUCUAAUUCCUUUCCUACUAAUUUUGAUGAUUUUUCAAAAUCACGUCACUGCUGCUGUUCAAAAACUGUAUCAUUGCAAAUUUUUACUCUUUUAUAAUUUUUUGGUAUUAACCAACAUUUAAACAUCCAUAAUACCAAACUUGUUUUUAAUUAGCCAUUUCAAUAGCAAAUCAUUAACCAUAUCAUAUGAACACGCUCAAAAUGACUAAGUCCCUAUACAUGCCAUAACUUUACACGUUUCAAAAUCACAUAAUACCGAGAUAUCUGUAGAUAGUGUGAGACAAACUCCGACGUCUUUGUGAUCCCCGAACUGACUUGGUGAUACUAUAAAAGAAGGAAGGAAAAUAAAGGAAGUAAUCAUAAAUCUUAGUAAGUUUACAAGUAAAUAAAUAACAACAUUUGUCACAAAUAAUUGUAUUCAUAAAUUAUCAUCAAGUCUCAUGAUCUUUACUUUCUUCUUUACUUACUCCCUUACUUGCUUGCUUAAACAACUCAUGGUUAUAACUUACUUCUUCCUCGCUGAAAUUUCUUUUCUCAACUGAUAACUGAGAUACUCUUAAUCUUUAUAACCCACCUUAACUUGUCUAUUAUGCUUUUACCUGAACUUUUAUGUAACAUAGUCUAUUUACUAGCCCGUUGAACCACUUGGAAUACUAAGGAUACUCGGGUCUCCUGUCUGAUAAUAACAUGCCAAAGCUAUGUCCCAAACAUAGUCUUACAUGGGAUGUUUCUUGUACUGCCAAUGCCAUAUCCCAGAUAUGGUCUUACAUGGGAGUUCUCAUAUCGGUUCCCAUGUCAUGUCCCAGACAUGGUCUUACGGGGGACCUCUCAUCUCAGUGCCAACGCCAUGUCUCAGACAUGGUCUUACAUGGGAUCUCUUUACCCAAAUGUCAUGACAUUUGUAUCCAAUAGAUUCCCAAUGUUUCAACGGGGCUUUUUAGCACAGAUUCUCUAUCAUCUCAUACUUGAGUCAAUAUUGAAUAAUUUCAUGAAAUAAAUACAUAAUUCCUAGAAAAUAGAAGCAUUAAUAAUAAUCAUUUAAAUAUUGCAUUUAUUUACUGUAAACUUACAUCGGUACAAAAUACGAUCAAAUCUAGCAAUUUAGUCUUCAAUCUUUUUCUUUCCCCGGUCUAACCCCAGAUUUCGUUCUUCUUGAUCUAUAAUAGCAAAUUUAUUUUAUUUAAUACUCAAAUUCAUCAAAACAAUCCUUGACUCAAACUUUGGAAAAAUUAUGAUUUUGCCCCUAAACUUUUUCAUAAUUACACUUUUUCCCCAAAGCUCGAAAAUUAAACUUCAUCCCUUUUUCUUAUUUUUAUAAAAUGCUAAACAUUUUUCCCUUCUAUGACAACAUCAAAUUCUUACUCUAACACUUACUUAUGAACAUUAGGUAUUUUAUCGAUUAUCUCAAUUUACUCGUUUUCACUUAAAAUUGACUAGCAAAAAUUGUUAAACAUAAUUUCUAGCUUCAUAUUCUACCAUAAAACAUCAAAAUAAACACAUUUCACCUAUGGAUAUUUUCCAAAUAUGAACCCUAGGUUAAAUUAUUGCUAGAAUAAGUUAAAUCAAGUUACCGGGACUCUAAAAACGUAAAGAACAUUAAAAACGGGGCUUGGAAUCACUUACUAUGGAGCUUAGAAGCUUGAAAACCCUAACUAUGGCUUCCCCCUUGCUAUUUUCGUUCACCAUGGAGAAGAUGAGCACAUUUUGCCAUCUUUUUCCCUUUUUAAUUCUUUUUAUUACUAAAUUACCAAAUUUCCCCUAACUUAAAAAUUUUUCCUAUUUCACUUAUCUCAUGUCCAUUUUUGUCUAUCAAAUUAACCUAUAACACCCUUUACCCAAGACCCUUUCCGAAGUUGAGCAUGAGGCAUUACUUGACUUAACUUAAAAGUUUGGGGCAUAAAAAUUUACUUUUAAAAGUUAUUUCACUGUUCAUAAUAAGGCUAUCCACCUGCGCAGCAGUCACUAAAUCAAUUAUAACUCGAGCUACGAAACUUGAAAUUUAGAUCCACAAAUUUUCCCUAAAACUAGACUCAUAUAUAUUUUUACCAUAAUUUUUUUAGAAUUUUUGGUUCAUAUAAUUAGUACAUUUUAUUAGUUAAAAUAUCUCCUGUUUCACUGAUCGACUGUCUUGACCUCUUGUCACUAAAAUUAAAUUAUCUCAUUGUACAGAUUUCAUAUGGUGUUCUCACUUGUUUUUUUUAAAAAAUAGACUCAAUAAGGAAUCUAUAAAUAUAAAUUACAACUCAUAAAUAUUUUCGUACAAUUUUUAAUGAUUUUCCAAAUUCAAAAUAGGGGAUUCCAGAAACCACUUUGACCUUGUCUAACUAAAAUGAAAAUAUCGCAGAAUACAUAAUUCCUUUGUCUACACCGUUAUUUUUCUAUAAAAAUAGACUCAAUAAUAUUUAAUUCUAUAUCUCAUCCACUCUCUAAUUCAUUUUCUACUAUCCUUGGUGAUUUUUCAAAAUCACGUCACUACUACUGUCUCAAAACUGAUUCACUAGCAAUUUUUACUUUUUCAUGAUUUCUAUGCAUAAUUUAUCACCUAGACAUUUAUAAAAAAAAACACAUUCAUACUUAGCCAUUUUAAUAACUAUUCAUCAUCAAAUAUUUACAUAUCAUCUUUUGGUCAGAUCCUAAGAAUAUACAAUCGAAAUGACCAAGUCCCUAUACAUGCCAUAGCUCAAAACACUUAUCGUCUUAAAAUACUGAGUUGUGGUGGUUGAUAGUGUGAACACUCUCCGACAUCUUCAAUAUCCCGACUAUGCUUGAUAAUACUAUAUGAAAGAAAAAGAAAUAAAAGAAAUAAGCAAAAAGCUUAGUAAGUUUACAAGUAAAUAAAUAACAACAUUUAUCAUAAACAAUUAUAUUCAUAAAUUUUUAUUAAGCAUUAAGAUAUUUACUUUCUUCUUUACUUACUCUCUUACUUGUUUACUUACUUGCUUGCUUAACUUACUCAUUUGUUACUGAAAUUUAUUUUCUCAACUGAUAACUGAGAUACUCUUAAUCUUAUUAACUCACCUGAACUUGUCUAUUAGGCUUUUACCUGAACUUUCAUGUAACAUCGUCUAUUUAUUAGCCUGUUGAAUCACUUGGAAUACUAAGGAUACUCGGGUCUCCUGUCUGAAUAUAACACGCCAAAGCUAUGUCCCAAACAUAGUCUUACAUGAAAUGUUUCUUGUACUGCCAAUGCCAUAUCCCAGAUAUGGUCUUACAUGGGAGUUCUCAUAUAGGUGCCCAUGCCAUGUCCCAGACAUGGUCUUAUGGGGGACCUCUCAUCUCGGUGCCAAUGCCAUGUCCCAGACAUGGUCUUACAUGAGACCUCUCAUAAUCUCAAUGAUGCCAAUGCCAUGUCCCAGACAUGUUCUUCCAUGGGACCUCUUUACCCAAAUGUCAUGACAUUUGUAUCCAAUACAUUCAUCAUGUUUCAACGGGGCCUUUUAACACUGAUUCUCUGUCAUCUCAUACUUGAGUUAACAUUAGAUAUUUUCAUAAAAUAAAUACAUAAUUGCUAAAAAAUAACAACAUUAAUAAUAAUUAUCAAAAUAUUGCAUUUAUUUACCGUAAACUUACCUCGGUACAAAAUAUGAUCAAAUAUAGCACUUUAGUCCUCAACCUUUUUCUUUCCCCAGUCCAACUCCGGAUUUUGUUCUUCUUGAUCUAUAAUAGAAAAUUUAUCUUAUUUAAUAGUCACAUUCAUCAAAACAGUCCUUAACUCAAACUUUGACAAAAUUACAUUUUUGCCCCUAAACUUUUGCAUAUUUACACUUUUGUCCCAAAGGUCGGAAAUUAAACUUCAUCCCUUAUUCUUAUGUUUUAUGACAUGCUGAACAUUUUUUCCUUCUAUGGCAACCUCAAAUUCUCACUCUAACACUUAUGAACAUUAGGUAUUUUUACCGAUUAUGUCGUUUUACUCGUUUUCACUUAAAAUCACUUAGCAAAAGUUGUUUAACAUAAUUUCAAGCUUCAUAUUCUACCAUAAAACAUCAAAAUAAACACAUUUCACCUAUGGGUAUUUUUCCAAAUAUGAACCCUAGGUUAAAUUAUUGCUAGAAUAAGCUAAAUCAAGUUACCAAGACUCCAAAAACGUAAAGAACAUUAAAAACGGGGCUAGAACAGACUUACAAUCGAGCUUGGAAGCUUGAAAAGCCCUAGUCAUGAUUUCCCCUUGUAAAAUUCGGCCAUGGGGUUGAAGAUGGACAAAAAUUGGCUUUUAAUUUUGUUUUUAAUUCAUUUUAAUAACUAAAUGACCAAAAUGCCCUUAAUGAAAAACUUUGGAAAAAUGUCUAACCAUGUCCAUUUCUGUCUACCAACUUAACCAAUGGUCUAAUUACCAUACAAGGACCUCCAAUUUAAAAUUUCAUAACAAUUGGACACCUCUAACAUGUAGAACUCAACUUUUGCACUUUUUACAAUUUAGUCCUUUUGACUAAAUUGAGUGCCCAAACGUCGAAUUUUUCAAACGAAAUUUUCACGAAAUCAUUUUGUGAAAUCGUAGACCAUAAAAAUAUAAUAAAAUAAUUUUUUCCUCAUCAGAUUUGUGGUCCCGAAACCACUGUUUCGAGUAGGCCCAAAAUUAGGAUGUUACAUAAGCAAUGGUCUAAUUACCAUAUAAGGACCUCCAAUUUAAAGUUUCAUAACAAUUGGACACCUCUAACAUGUAGAACUCAACUUUUGCACUUUUUACAAUUUAGUCCUUUUUACUAAAUUGAGUGCCCAAACGUCGAAAUUUUCACAAAAUCAUUCAGUGAAAUCGUAAACCAUAAAAAUAUAAGAAAAAUAAAAAUUUUCUCAUCGAAUUUGUGGUCCUGAAACUCGAAAAUCCUCAAUAAAUGCUAGACUUUGGUAUAUUUAGUAUACAAUAACAAGUUAAGAAUUAUCAUGUAACAACCCGUUUUUAGUGGUGUUAGAAAUAGUGGUUUCGGGACCAAAAAUUCGACCAAUGAGACCGUAAUUAUUAUUUAAUUCAUAUGAGUCAAAUAUAGUUUUAUAAUUUUGAUUUGAUAAAUUUUUACUAAUUGAACAAAUAGUUAAGUAUAAGUGGGUUGUCUUUAAGUAAGUGGUUUUGGAAAAUGAGAUAUCGGGACCUUGUUUUUGUAAAUCGAGCCCGUAGAUAUUUUUAUUAAAUAUUUGCAGAGCUAUUAUAUUAGUAUGUGAAGGUUCAGUUUAAGAAUUUUAAUGUUUGGUUAGUUAAUUAAAGAAAAAAGACUAAGUUAUAAAAGACGUAAAACUUCAUCAUUAUUUAUUAUUAUUAACUUAAGUGCAUAAAUAAGGUAUGUUUAAGGAUUUAUAAGGCAAAUAGACCAUUAUUUAUUUAGUGUGGACGAUUUGUAAACAUUUUAUUACAUUUCAUUCAUUAAAUUAAAAGUUAAAGUAAAAUAAAACAAAGUAAACUGCAUAUCAUCUUUUUGCUUUGAGCUUCCACCGAAAACCAACCUAAGAACCUUCAUUGAUGAAACUUUUAGUUCGGUGAGACAAGGUCCUUGCAUGUAAGUGCAUUUUUAUUUUACUUUUCAUUAUUUUUAUGUUUUUGAGAUCAUUGUAGCUUAAUCUAGUUAACAUAGAGACUAUUUCGUAAAAUUGUUAAAAAUUUUGAAAUUUUUCAUUAAUGAAUUCAAGGUGUUCUUGAGAUUAAAUGAUGAGUUAGUAAACUUGGUUGUUGUAUAACUCUUUUGUAAAGGAAUUUUUUAUAGUUUUGAAUCUAGGGUUUAAUAUGAAAUUAUGUAAAAAUUCAACAUGUAAAUUUGUGAAAUUUAUAAGUGUUAAAGGCUGGUUUGGGAUUAUGUUAAAUUAUAUUUUGGAGAAUUAGGGGUUAAAUGUGAAAUUUUAAUCAUUUCAAUUUUAAGGACUAAAUUGAACAAAGUGUAAAAGUUUAGGAAAAAAUUGUAAAAUGAAAUUUAUAGGUCAUGUGCUUAGAAAUGGGUUUGAUAGUGCAUUGGAAAUUGAUAAAGUGAAUUUGAUCAUUUUAUAGAUCAAGGAUUGAACUGUGUGGAGGAAAAUCGGUGAAAAGGAAAAUCGUAGAUUAGUCCCUACAAAUCUACUUAAUAGCUGAAUGUACUAGGAAGUUCAUAGUAUAGAUAAAUAUAUAUUCAUUUAUAACUUGUGCUAUUAUGGUUUGAUUUAAUUGUAUUUGAUUUAAGUUUUGAUUAUAAAUUGAAAUUAUAAAUUGUUGCAAAUAAGUACAGGUGAGAAAGUGAAUAUUUGGUACUUGUUAAACAUUUGAGAAAUAUGAUUUUUAUGAUUUUGGAAUGAACUUAUUUGUUUGGAAACAUGAGUAUGAAUGUAUUUAUUAAAGUGCCUCUGAAUUAUUAAAGGUGGUAAAUUCUAUUAGAAUGUUUGUUUGAACAUAGUAAACGAUUAGGAUACGAUUGGCAUGCUAAUAGGAUUUAAACAGGUUCUUGUAUGGGUUUACACUUCGGCGCCUCUGUUAUCAUUUUGAUGCUCUCUGAUGUGAUAUGGUUACUUGAGUAUCUGAGUCAUGUUACUAUAGUUCAUCAGGCUAUGAAAAUUUGUGAUUAAUCCUAUAAUAACUUGAUUUUUCUAGUGUUUAUCCAUUAGAAGGUUUGUAUUAUUGUAUAAUCAUACAAGAAUCUUUUAUCUUGAUAUUGAUGCAAUAAAAUGUAUAUAUAUGAAGAUUUUUUAUUAAACCGUUGAUGAGCAUGAAGUAUAUAAUGAACUAUUUCAAUACUAAUUCUAUGUGUUCUCGUAAAUGAUUGUCAGGUUUAAUUAAUCUAGUUAUUUUAAUUUUCAAAUGUUUAAUUGAGGUAAGUUGAUUUGAAUUUUAGCUACAAACUUACUAAGCUACUUAAGCUUACUCGAUUUGUUUUUGUUUUCUAUAGUUAACGUUUUGCGAAACUGGUUGGAACUAUCAACUUCAAAGUUCACACUAUCAAACUCUUGUUUUGGUAGUUUUUGAUUUGUUAUCUAGUGGUUUUGUAAUGUGGUUAAAGUUGGUAUACAAUGUUAAGUUUCAUGUUUCAUGAUCAACUUGUGAUGAAUAUGGUAAAACUAAUUAGGUAUAUCAUAUUGGUUCUAUUUUGUGAGAUGAUAAUUUGUGUCAUUUGAAUGGUAAACAUGACUUUAGUAUUUGGUAUCUAGAAAUGGUAACUUGUCCUUUGAUGUCUUCUUUGGAGAUUUGUUGUUAAAAUGACUAUUUUGUUCUGGUAAUCUUUUCGAACUUUGGUUAGGAUAUAUUAAUAUUAGAAAGUUUUGUAUAAAUGGUUGAUUAUGGGAUAUGUUAUUUGGAAUUUAUUUAAUGAUUGAAUAAGGUUAAUUUUUUUUUUGUUAUUGUUUAUAUUGAAAUGUGGUGCCAAUGAGGACGUAUUGGUUAAACAUAUAGGUUGAAUGUGAAUUAGUAUAUUUUGGUACAUUUUUUAAUAAGUUAAUGUGGUGGUAAAUGCAUGGCUUGGUGUCUAAGAAAUUGUAGGUGAAUUGUCUUGUGUUUGAAGGUAUUUUGGGUACACACGGUCUGGGACAUGAUUUGCCACACGGAUGUGUAUCCCACAUGGUUGCAUGACACAACCAUGUGGCCUCUUUGAUUUUUGCUGCAGGUUUGUUCACAUGGUUAAAGUUUGUUACACAGCUUAGGGGCACGACUGUGUGACCCAGGUAUACAUGGUCACAAUGAGUCACACGGCUUGACCAUACAGUCAUGUUCUUGAGCCACACAGGCUGAGCUCUAUCACAUGGCUUGACGACUUAGUCGUGUGACCACUGUUUUCACUUUUUAAUAAAAUUUUUGUAAAAGUUUUAUUUUAAUCUAGAAUUGUUCCUAGUUUGUUUUAAAUGUUCCAUAAGCUCGAAUUAGGUCCCGUUUUGAUUGAAUAGAAUUCUUAAAAAUAAGAUGACUUAUCCUCAGUGUGUUUGAUUUUUUGGGAUAUAGUAAGUAUCUUUUAAUGAACUUAAGGAUUUUUAAAGCCGAGCAUUAGUUGUAUUGCCAUAACAAUAUUUAAAUAGGGGAUAGUAGGCGCUCCACUAUUUAGAAUUGCUAAAUAGGUCAACAUCACUUUGUUUGCUCAAUUGUGCUGUUGAUUAGAAAGGUGAGUCUAAGCAAGAGUGUGUUUCAUGGAAAAAGAAUUAGGGGCACCCCGCUUUAGCAAAAAGGAUUAAGUAGUUAAUGAGAUAGUUGUAUGCUCCAUCCAUCUUUUUAGUCAAAAGUUUGAGCUUCAUGGGUGACUUUUGGUUUAAAUUGUGACAUGAUUGAUUACUCGACAAUUCGGUGUAUGCUCUAGUGUGAUUAUCGAGUCCAAGAAUUUUGUGACAUGUUAAAUCCCCUAAUAAUAAUAAUUCAAAAAAAAGCAUGAAUAUGAUUAAUAUAUUCUGAGUAGGCUUAAAGCAACUUAUGUUUAGGUACUAAAUGAACUAAGUAAAUUAAAAGAUGGUUGUUAUAGGCCAAAAGAAAGAAUACAUGAGUACUUAGGAGAGUCUAUGUUUGGGGAGAAAUUUCUACUCUACCUUUGUUGAGCAACCCUUUGACACUCGAACGAGUUUUAGGAAAAAGGAGAUUGCUAAGAACUGAUGUACUUGUUGUUUUUUGAAUAGCCUAGCAAUAUGAGUUGGUUUGGUGCGCUGGCAAAUGUUGGCAUAUAUGCAUUCAUGCAUUCAUAUGUAUCUUGCUUGAGGACAAGUAAUAACUUAGGUUUGGGGUGUGAUAACUCUUGAAAAGGGUUAUAUUUCAUGUCUUUAGACCUAGUUAAUUGCCUAUACUUAAGUACAUCUAGUUGCAUUUUAGGACAUUUCAUUAGUAUUUUUAGCAUUGCAUUAGAACUUAGGCUGUGUUUAAAUAUUAGGUACUUUUAAUUACUUGUAGAAAGGUGGUGUUUUGUGGUACUGGCAGGUGCAGGAUGAGGAACAAGAAAUAAAUAAGUGAAGUUUUGUCGAGGCAAAAAGGUGGUCAUAUUGCUAACUAUAUGCUGUGGCAAUGCUGGGAAGGGGUCCCAACAGCAUUCAACGUAUAUCAGUUUCAGCCCAACUCUAAUUGUACCAGAUACAUCUGCCUAGAAAAGAGGAGAAGAUAAAUCUUGGGUUGUUGGAAUUAUCCUAAAAAAGAGAAAAAAAAUUUAAAAAGAAAAGGAGGAAACCCUAGAGAGCGAACAGAAGGUAAGAUCCUUAGCCGAAAUAGAAGGUAGCGGCUGAAUAGAGACAGGAAAAGGAAAAACGAAGGCAAUCCCUCUUAGCCACCUCAGGACACUACGCAGCUGGAGUGUGGAUUCGACAAGCGAAUGUUGUAUUUCCAACAUUCUUCCAUUAUUUCUAAUAUGUUCCUUCGUGAAUAACAGUGAUGAAAAUGAUGUUUGAGUUGAAUUUUACUUGCCAACCUAUAAGCUAGAUCUCAUAGGGUUGGGAUUACUUUGAUAAAACUUUAACUGUCUUUAAUGGCUGCAGUAUAAAUUUGAAUUAUUUUACUAUUUCAUCCAAUUGUUUUAUUCUUUAAUUUGAAUGUAAGUAAUCUUUAGACAUGUCGACUGUGCAGCAUACCCUUAAAUUAAUCUAAGUUCUGAAAAUGUUAGAUUAGUUAGACCGUGGUUGAAUAACAUGAGCAAGUUAGAAGAGGACCUUGACCCAUUACCUAUAUGGAGGUAAGAACCAAAGGUAUAAUAAUAUGGUUGAACGCCACACCGGUUCGGUGAUAAGUUCAAUGGAGUUCGGAUUGACGCCACUAGCAAGCUAGAUAAGUCGCUUCGAGACUCGAACGAAAGAAGAGAUUAGGUAACCUCACAAGAACAAAAGUUCUAUUAAGUUUAAUUGAUCAAAUUCUGUAACCUUUUACAAUAAACAAGUCAACUAUUUAUAGGAAAAGACUAAGCUAGUCGAAUAGCCACACACAUCCUUAGGAAUUAAGCAAAUGAAUUCAUCUAAUGGUCUUGCUAAAUUCGGCUGAACAUGGACAGCUUCUAGAAUGAACAUUGAAUAUUGGAAAAUUUGGGAAGGUGCAUGGAAGAGCUAGGUUCGGCCAAUGAGCUUAAAUAGGCUCAUAUAAGAUGCAAUUUUUGGCUGAAAAGUGACCAGCAAUUAAUAGAAAAUUGGACAGCCAUUUGAAGUGUGAAUGCUCAGCUUUGAAGAGUCCUUGAGUGUGAACACCAUGAACCGAACAGCCAAAAUGAAUCCAGCAAUGUGAAAGAAAUAAAUGGCAGCUUUGGAGUAGGAAACAUCAUCUCCUUUGGCCGAAUAGUCACAUAGGAAACUUCAAAAAUUAGCACACCAUUUUAAUUGCAUUCCAUGCAUGUAUUGCCAAAUACAUUGAAUCCAACGUGCAUGCAUCUUUUAAAUGCACUCCCACAUUCAGCCAACCUACAAAAGGAGAAAAUGAACUUAAAUUAAUUUGUAUUCAGCUGAAACAUAAUUAAAACAUAAUUUGGACAAUUUAAAUUCACAUAAUUAAAACAAAACACAAUUAAUUAAAUUAAGACCUAAUUAAUUCGGUUAGGACAAGACACAUUGAAAACAUGCAAUAAAACAUAUUUAUAAGCUGUAGGAAUUAAGAUGACUUAAUAACAUGUAAGAAAACACAAUUAACAUGCAUAAUUAAAUUCGUCCAGAUUUAAGACCAAUUAAACAACAAAAAUUAAUUGAGCUGUAUAUAACUAAAUUAACUAACUCAAUAAUUAUUUCAGCAACUAUAUUAUCGCAUAAAUGGAAUUAAGCUAGAUUUGAGCUGAUUCGAGCUCUUGGAGCUAGAAACAAGCUAAUUGGAGCUCAAUGAAAUGGAAUUGAACUAAUUCAGCUAGCAUGGGUUUGCAAGCAAUGCUUAAGGAGCUGGUCCAAAAUUGUGCCCGGGGCGUGGUCGUAUCAUCCCCUCCCUUUUUAAAGUGAUUUGUCCCCAAAUCGGGCCAUUUGCUCGAAAAAAAUCUUCAAUAUUCUGAGAGCCACAAUUAGUUCGGAUUGAAAGAAGCUCAUUCGCAUGCCCUCCCUCUUUAGGAGGGUACCACCUCACAUCGUCACCUAUAAAAGAAUAAAACGAAUUAGUGACACGAUGAAGAUUAAACACAAAGGAACUUUCCGAGAUUUGAUUCACAACUUGAACAAAUAAACCAAUACUGGGGUCAAAAAUAGAAAUUGUUCUUACCUUUUUCUCCGAUGGAAACAAACCUAAAUCACAAGGCAUUUGAUAGCUAUGGUUUUGGAAGUCAACUUUCCAUGGUUCGAUUACCUUAGACAACGAUAUAAAAUGAUGUUCACCGGGGUCAAAGACAAAAUUUUCUCUUGCCAUUUCAAUUUGAUUUGUCAAUUUCAUGACAGACUUCAUAGAAAGAACACUAAGCAACUCAAAAUCAUUAUCAUGCAAAACAUGUUCAGAUCNNNNNNNNNNNNNNNNNNNNNNNNNNNNNNNNNNNNNNNNNNNNNNNNNNNNNNNNNNNNNNNNNNNNNNNNNNNNNNNNNNNNNNNNNNNNNNNNNNNNGAACAACCUCUAGAAACAAAAUUUUGAUUUUGACUUAACAAACCAACAAGAUUUACAUGUCUCAUUUUCAAACUUAAAGACAAAGCAUCAUACAAACAAAGAUUGUUUACACAUUCAUUCAAACAAAAUUUACGAUGCUUGCUUUCUUUCAUGAAUGAUUCAUAAUAACAAACUCCAGGAUUAAACACAUGAUUUUGGCUACUCGAUCCAAAUGGCAAGAAGAGUCUUUUUAUCUCCAACAAUUUACACAAAUUAAACAACGAGGGUGUUAGCAUACUCAAAUUCAAACAAGCAAACCCUUUAAAUUUCAUUCGAAAAGAUUUACGAAAACAUGGAAAUUUCACACCACAAAUUGGAUAAUUCACAUGAUCAACACAACCAAACAGAUAAUAUGUCGACGUUUGAUCACACAAUUCCAGAUCUCGUUGGUGCUGAUUUAUUCGUUCUUCAUCAAAAAUCUUGCCGAUGCCAUACUCAUCAAUACAUUUCCAUUCCUUUUCAAUAGGAUCAGUUAAAAUGAACAAUUUAUACGGACUUUCAUCUUGCGCAUCCAAAACAUGCAUUCCAUUGCAAGUUAAAGAUAAACAACCAAUACCAUCAAGAAAAUAAUAUUUUUCAAAAGCAAGAAUCUUCUUAUCAUCAGACAAAACAAAUGGAUCAUCAUCAAUCAAAGAAUGACAAGUAACCAUGUCAAAGUUCAGAUUCUUUCUAAAGACCAAAUCAUCAACAAUGUGUCCAUCAACAAUCAAAUAAGGCAGAGGUGCUUUAAAAUUUUCAACAUUCAUACCUUGCUUACCUUUUGGCAUAGGCGAACUAGGAUCGUUGAGAACAUUACCUUUUUAAGCCAAAGUGAACCUUCUAUCCAUGGGAAGGUAUUGUACUCGAAACUUGUCAAUCGAUUCUUUAAAAACCUGAGGAGAGACAACACGAGGAAAACUCACAUGUUGGUUAAUGGAAACAUUCCUCACUUUUUCUCGUUCGUCUUUUUCUUUCAUUUCUUUUUCUAACUCGGUUUCUCUUCUUUCUUCAAUUUCUUUUUCGAUUUUCUCUUUUUCACAUCCUUUUUCAAUCUCAAUUUCUUUUUUCUUUUUCUCACUCUCACUCUCACUCUCAUUUUCUUUUUCAAUUUCUUUUUGUUUUUCUUUUUCACAUGCUGUUUCGAUUUCAUUACAAAAGAAGAAAUCAUCAAAAUGGGAAGCCUUUCGUUGAGAAUAAGAAAAGGUUUCUUCAUACAAAAGACAAUCAUCUCUUUGUGAUAGAUCAUCUGUGGCUGAGUACUUUGAAACACGUUCGUCUCUUCAUAAGCCAUCCGUCACAGAUGAAUAAAUUGAUGCACUUGUAGAGACAUGUCUACCUUUUCGUUCAUCAUCUCGGAAAGACUCAAACUCGGAGUUUGCUUCUCUUGGUCUCGAACGCCUUGUUGAAUAGAAGUCUUGAUAAGAGUCUCUUGUCGAAUAUUCGUUGGAUGUUCGUCUUCUUGGCACUCUCAGUUCUACCCUUUCACUUGAAUUAAAUUGUCCUCGUUGGGCUCUUUUCUCCACUCGAUCAUGCAAUUUAUCAAAUUUUGAUUUCACUAUUCUACACAUCUCUUGCAUCAAAUAUUGGAAUUCUAUUUUGGAAAAUUCUUCUCGAGACAUGAUUAUUCACUAAAAGAAGAAAUGUUAAAAGAAUAAUAACAAAAAAUUAGAUACCUCCCCACAAAAUCCUCACCAAUUCUCUCGAAAAGGAAAUAAUUAUUUUCACUUGCACUCGUGUUUACACUCAAUUUUUGGCUUUUGUUUUUGAUGUAACUCACUCUUGCCUUUUACCACUCGACCUCGUCUCACAAUUUCAUAAUUCGUCUCGGUAGACUUAAUUUGCUGCUUGAGGGUCGAUUUCAAAAAAAUGGGUACCAAAGGGAAUAAUGAAAUGGUGUAAGGUAGGCUAAAACAAAACAAAUUUGGUUUAAGGGUGUGGCGUUGGGAAGGUAGAAUAAGUAGAAUUGAAAAACUUCUUGUGAUCGGUACUUACAAGGAUGAGAAAUAAAAUUUCGAUACUUCACUUUUUUUUUAAUAUUCGCACUUUUUUUUAUACUCUCAAAUAUAAUAAGAUGACUACAAAUGGAAUCAAAUACAACUUUUUUUUUAAUUCACAAACCUAAUUCGAAUUCUUUGAUCUUCGAUACUCCUCAUUUUGCAAGCUCUGAUACCAAAUGAUGCGAUCCGGCUCAGUUGAUUGAGUCGAUUCACUUGAUUGCUUGAUCGUCGAUGAGAAGUUUUCCUUUUGAUGUCAUAUGAAAAUUGAGUUAUGGAGAUGUAUAAGCAGAAGCAGGCAAUUUGGGUUCAAAAAAUGGCUUGGAUUGAUUUUUUUAUAGGUUCGGUUUAAUAAAGAAAUAAUUUAUAAAUUGAUAGAUAAAAUGGAAUGGAAAUUGAACUCAAGCUUCAAGAAUGUUUCAAUACUAAAAAGUAUUGCCCCGAAUCUUAUAUUGCUUAAGGUGAAUUUUGAUGAAGGAUAGAAGCGAACCUUGACCCAUUACCUAUAUGGAGGUAAGAACCAAAGGUAUGAUAAUAUGGUUGAACGCCACACCGGUUCGGUGAUAAGUUCAAUGGAGUUCGGAUUGACGCCACUAGCAAGCUAGAUAAGUCGCUUCGAGACUCAAACGAAAGAAGAUAUGAGGUAACCUCACAAGAACAAAAGUUCUAUUAAGUUUAAUUGAUCAAAUUCUGUAACCUUUUACAAUAAACAAGUCAACUAUUUAUAGGCAAAGACUAAGCUAGCCGAAUAGCCACAUACAUCCUUAGGAAUUAAGAAAAUGAAUUCAUCUAAUGGUAUUGCUAAAUUUGACUGAACAUGGACAACUUCUAGAAUGAACAUUGAAUAUUGGAAAAUUUGGAAAGGUGCAUGGAAGAGCUAGGUUCGGCCAAUGAGCUUAAAUAAGCUCAUAUAAGAUGCAAUUUUUGGCUGAAAAGUGACCAGUAAUUAAUAGAAAAUUGGACAGCCAUUUGAAGUGUGAAUGCUCAGCUUUGAAGAGUCCUUGAGUGUGAACACCAUAAACCGAACAGCCAAAAUGAAUCCAGCAAUGUGAAAGAAAUAAAUGGCAGCUUUGGAAUAGGAAACAUCAUCUCCUUUGGCCGAAUAGUCACAUAGGAAACUUCAAAAAUCAGCACACCAUUUUAAUUGCAUUCCAUGCAUGUAUUGCCAAAUACAUUGAAUCCAACGUGCAUGCAUCUUUUAAAUGCACUCCCACAUUCAGCCAACCUACAAAAGGAGCAAAUGAACUUAAAUUAAUUUGUAUUUAGCUGAAACAUAAUCUGGACAAUUUAAAUUCACAUAAUUAAAACAAAAUACAAUUAAUUAAAUUAAGACCUAAUUAAUUCGGUUAGGACAAGACAUAUUGAAAACAUGCAAUAAAACAUAUUUAUAAGUUGUAUGAAUUAAGAUGACUUAAUAACAUGUAAGAAAACACAAUUAACAUGCAUAAUUAAAUUCAUCCAGAUUUAAGACCAAUUAAACAACAAAAAUUAAUUGAGCUGUAUAUAACUAAAUUAAUUAACUCAAUAAUUAUUUCAGCAACUAUAUUAUCGCAUAAAUGGAAUUAAGCUAGAUUUGAGCUGAUUCGAGCUCUUGGAGCUGGAAACGAGCUAAACGGAGCUCAACGAAAUGGAAUUGAACUAAUUCAACUCGCAUGGGUUUGCAAGCAAUGCUUAGGGAGCCGGUCCAAAAGUGUGCCCGAGGCGUGGUCGUAUCAGCGUUCAUACAGAAGGAAACAGUGCAAGGUACCAUGUUAAAGGCCUAUAGACAUUGGCAAGGUAACUUGAGGUUUCUGCCUUCGAAAGAAGCAUACUACUUUAGAACUCUUCUGAGCAGUAGGUUAAGUAUGAUUUUGCCGAGGCAUUGCUAACAGGAAAAGUAGAUUUUUAGUAAUCUCGACCUUCCCACUCAACAUCACAUAACCCUUAUCUUUUGUCGUAGUAUCUUUGCCAUCUCAUCCUUAGUUGUUUAUUUUUCAAUUACAUAUUAUUCAUAUAAUCAUUUUCAUAAUUGACAUUACAUUCCUACUCUCGUUUUGCCAUAGCAUUUUCAAGUAUUCAUUAAUUUCACAUAUUGCAUACAUCAUUAUUCCUUUUAAUUGCCACUGUAUACUUACCAUGGCUUUACCAUAGCAUUAAUUGCAUUUUAUUAUAAUAACUAGACCACUUUAGUGCCUCAAUCUGGUACUUGUGGGAACGAUACUCACUCAUCACUUAAUUACUUGAACCGAUGUGUAUACUUACAGAAUUCGCAUAUUAUAUUCACACGUGACAAGAGUCCCAGUAGGAGUGUAACUCUUCCACUACUCAACCACCAAUGACCAACCGCCACCGGCCAACGAGAUGCCACCGUCACAGCCACCAACAUCGCCGUGUCUGGUGAUACAGGUGUGACACCCUUACGGCACCCCGAGCCAGUUCAAAUAUUGUUGGUUCGAUCUGGGUCAAUGACGACCUGACCGGUUUGGUUUAACCAUCGGUUGGACCGUCGACUCGGUUUCACAUACAGGGCUCGGUUCGACUAGUUUUUGGGUCAUGGUUUUAGUUUUGGGCUAUCCGGCCCAAUUUACGACCUCAAGUCCAAUUUUCAAGUUCAAUUACUCAUUGGGCCAAUUGUUUGACUUGAAAAUUAAUUCCCAGAAAUAUCUUAUUAAUUUUAAUUGAUUUGAUUAAUUUAAUUUUACUCGAUGAAAAUUAAUUUUUCCAAAAAUCACUUAGAUUUUCCAAAUUAACUUUUCAAAAAAAAUAAUCAAAUUCUCUAGUUGAACAAUUCUUACGAUCGCUUAAUUUAAUUCCAUAUCGAAUAAAUCGACUCAAUUAAAUUAUUCCCAAAGUUGUAGAAUUUUCUUCUAAUUUAAAUGCAGUCCGAUCGAGCUUUUGUUGAGCUAGCAGAGGGACCAAUCAGACAUAAACAAUUAGACUCUAUUGAUUGCAAUUAUUUCCAGAAGCAUUGUUCUGAUAAUUCGCAAUUACUUAAUCAUGGAGUUAGUCCACAAGAAGUACCAUGAUUGAAAAAUCCUUAUUGUAUACUCUUUACGAAAGCAAUUCAUCUAAUUGCUUUGUCCAAUGGCCUCGUCAUAUGUGUGUUACUCUCAUAUGAUAUCUUGGAUCCCUUUGAGUUAAAUCCAUCCACUCAAUACAAUCAUAUUUUAUCUCAUUGUCACCAUUGUGUUUUCUUAAUGAUUAAUAUGAUCACUGCCAAUAAAUGACUAUGGUAAAUUGCUCAUUCGAGAACAAGCAACCUGUGCUCACGUUCCAUAUUUAUCAAUCCACACAAUGCCAAUGAGAGGAUAUAAUUAACUCUUUAAUUAAGCUAUGAAUUUCAUUGUUGCUAGUAAAGCCAUGCUAUACACAAGUCAUGUACCCAACAUACUGGCUAUGGGCUCGAUCAUCUUUAAAGCAUAAGCCUUCACUUAUAUCAAAGCAAAUGAGUUGCAUAAGCAUGGUCAGUAACUAACUCAAGAUUUAGGUAAAUCACACCAUGAACGUCACAAGUGAAUUAAUUCACAAACGGAUUCAGAAUUAAUUCAUCUUGGGUCCAGUCCAAUGUAUCAUUCUACUAAUGAAUACAUUUAUUUCUCUACUCGUGGAGUCAACUGCUCCGAUAGUCAAGACUAGCCAUCUCCUCAAUUGGAAUUAUAGACGACAUAAUAAUCCUUCUUAGUAUUUGAAUCAAAUGCUCACUUUGAUUCUUUUACAAGAUUAUGGGCUCAUUUAGAUUAUGUACUGAAGUAAGUUGUCUUUUUCGCAAUGUAAAUGUUCUUACAAUGCCACUUAUCUUCUGUUUGAACUUUAGAUAAUCAAUGAGCUAAUAUUUGCUCGUCAUAAUUUCUCUAUGUAUACAAAAUAUAAAAGAGAGAAAAUACAAAAAAUAUAAUAGUGAAAUGUGAAAUUAACUUUAUUUGUUUAUUCAUCGUUCAAUUAAAUAGAAAAUAAUUACAUGUUUACUACAAUAUGACUACAUUUCCCAACAAAAAUAUCACACCAAAAAUGUAAUAAAUUAAAUUAGCGAUGCCCACAAGUAUACAGGUCAAAUUGUAACAUAGUAUAUGUGUACAACGGAAUACAGGAAGUAUUCUGAGGAUUGUACCCAAGGGAGGAUGGAAUAAAUCUAUUGAAAACUGCUUUACAAUAAUCAGUCUAAAUAGUAGUAAUUAAAUCUUAUAUUACGAUAGAUCAUAAAAUAGAUGAAUAAUGGAAAUUAAAUAACUAAAAUUAAUAAACAAGAAAAUAGACGAAUGACUAAAUCGGCAAAACCAGUCAAGAACAUUAACUCAUUCCAGGUGUUGUCCAAGCCAGAUAGUUUUUUUUCUUUUGAUGAUCAUGCAUUUCAUUUCAUUUUACCGUGACGUUUGUCUGUCCAUAGCUAUAUUUUUGUUGCAUGCACAUGUAUUGAGGACAAUGCAUCCCUUGGGUUUGGGGGUGUAUUGUGCAUUCUGGUUGCACUUUAUAUAAUAUAGAUGUUUUGCCACUACAUUUUAACCACUGAAGUAUUAUUUUGUCUAUAAGAAGGACAAUUUGUACUUAUGAUGUUCGAUGAUGAGUUUACAUUUUUCGAUAUACCUAGAACAUGUGACAGUCGAUUGGGUGAAUUUAGCUUAGGUUAAGAUGCUUGAAAUUAAAGAUCAAGAUCCAGUAUUUAAUCCUGGAAAAGAAAAAAUUUUCGAAUUGUCCCUGAUAUUGUCAUCUUUGUUGUUUAGCCAUGGUAAGUUUAUAUGGUUUAAUUUAGUAUAAUUUAUAAUACUAUAUCGACUUGGGAUUUAUGAUUUGUUGAAUAUAUAUAAUUAAACUGUCUCAAAUUGAUUCAAAGUGAGAAAUGUAAUUGAACUGUAAAGUAUUAUGUGAUUUUGUGUAUCGAGCCCGAAUAAACAUAGGAUAGGAUAUAAUUGGCAUGACAAUAGGUUAUUUUGCAUGCUGUAUGGGAUUGACUUGUGAUAAGUGUAACACCUUUUACUCGGUCCGAGCUAUAAGAUAUUACAACUAUAUACUUUAACAUCAUUCACAAUUUAAUAAAAAAAUAACCAAAUAAUUAAUUUAUAAUCAUUUCCAAGAAAGGCUAGUGUGUGCCAGAGUACGUGGCGAGGCAAAUAUAUGAGUUAAAAGUAAGUAUAGAGAGUCCACUGAAGUAAGGAAGAUCUGGGUGAAUUCUAAGUUAAGUAUUGGGCGUAGCCUACCCUGCUCGAAGAAAGUGAUAAGACUAGUAAGUAUGGAAAAAGAUAUUAAAUUUGAUAAUAAGGUAAGAUUUAAGAAAGAAUAUAGAAAGUAAAAAUAUGUUAAGUAUAGUACGCUCAAAAGAGAGGAAAAUGGUCUUUAAGAAAGAAAUAUGGUAGCCUCAGUAUUGUACCCGCCAAAGAAGGAAAAAAUGUCAAGAAGUACCCAAAAGAUGUACAUAAUAACAUACGCAACAUAGAAUGAAUGAAAAAGGUAUUCUAAGGUUUAGCUCAUUAAGUUCUUAUGAACUUACAAAAUUUGUUUCUAUUUUCAUGUUUGUAAAGGAAUAUGCGUCGAGAGACGAUACCAAGGUUACGCCAAGGGAGCGGCAUGUUGGGCUGUUAUGCAUGUAAAGGAAAGCAAAUGGUGUGUUUGAGUCUGCACAUAAGUUUAUUAAGUAGUAAUCAAAUAUGUACUUAGCAACAUAAGAGAUAGAAUAGAAGUUGAUAGAAAUUUAUUAUUCUUAAAUGUAAAUGAAAUCAUACAAUGUACGCCAUAAGAGGCUCUGUUACACUCAUAGAUAGAUGUUUACAUCAAUGAAUAAGAAAGAAGAGUUUUAACUUACAUCUAUAUAAGGCGUAACACCCAAAAUUUGGAUCUGAUAGAUUGAGUGAGGUCGAGAGCAUUACAUUUCUAGACAAUCAACCCAAAUAGGACAGAUGCUUACGUUGGUUGUUACAAACUUGGUUCAGAACAGAGACUUCGCAACAAAAUAUUCGAUAAGAGAAUUUUCAUGGAAUAAGGGUUGUAUUCAUAGACAAUAAGUAUCUUAGUACCUAACUUAGGAACCCUAGUUGGUUUAGAAGAAGGUUACAUGCACGAAAAGUAUCCUAGACACAAUAUCUUUAUUUCUUAAUUUAAGUCUGACUAGACUUUUGACUAGCGAACCCCCAGUUUGCAACUCAACUGGCAAACCCCAAUUCGCCUACCAACUUAACUUACAAUGAAUCUAGCGAACCCCUUACCACAUCUUUUGGGAUAUACCAGUUCGUCAAAACGAUGGAAAACUUCUUACUAAUCCUUCUGACAAAAAGUAGCUCGCCAAAACACUGGCGAACCCCUUACUGAUAUCCCUUUUGGUGAACCCCAAUUAGUCAAAACCCUGGCAAACCCUUACUUGUAACACCAAAAAUUUCAAUCCCGAUCUCAGGGUGUUACAAGGACAACCCCUUAGCAAGCUUAGUUUCAUGAGAGGAGAUGUAACACCAUUAACCCGUAUCUAUCGUCGGAACAUGGUUACGGAGCAUUACCAAAAUUUAUAGAUUAGAUAAACAAAUAAUUCAUGCCUUAUAGCAUUCAUAUUACAAAUCAAUCAUAAUGUCCCCUAUAUGAUCCCUCAAGGCCCAAAAUAUACAUUAGAAUCAGGUCGGGACAAAACCAGGUACUCAGAGAAUUUUUCGCAGAAUCUCAAAAUUUUUCUCAACCCAUGUAACUCUCUAACUUGGGUCACACAGCCAAGUCACACGCCCGUGUGCCAGACCGUGUGAAAAUACCUAGGCAUUCUAUUUUGAAAUUUUAAAGAUGCAGAGGACACACAGCCAGGUCACACGCCUAUGUGCUAGGUCGUGUGUCAAACAUGGAUAAGACACACACCCGUUUCUUUGCCCGUGUGAACUAAAAUAGGCUAUUUUCCAAGCCACGUUUCUCACCCAACUUGUCUUUCACCUACACCAACACUUAAACACAUUUACAAACCAUAUCAAAGUAUUUAAAACAAGUCCAAAUCAUGUCUUAAACAUGACAUAAUAUCCAUACAACCAAUAUACCCUUAGGUACCUCAUAUGACAAUUUAUUAUCAUGUUAAUCUAUCAUUUAUACUUACUUAUUUACCAAAUGCAUAUAUGUAUGAUCACAUUUAUUCUUCAAACAUGAUAGAUCCACUUAUAAAUAUGUCAAAAUAUGUCAAACACAAGUCAUUCUAAUGGCUAGUUUCAUUCAAAACAUUUACAUAUCAAUAUUAGCCAAUUAACCUAUACAUGUCAUUAUAACCAUCAUUAAUUUAUCAUAUAUACCGAAAUGGGCCAAUGGAUAGUGUGAGUGAUCUCUACCAAGCUUCUAAUCUAACGAGUUUUCGAAUUACUAUAGAACAGGGGAAAUAAAACCAAAGUAAGCAUGAAUGCUUAGUAAGUUCGUAUAACAUGGUAAUUAACUUACCAUUUAUUUAUGUUCAAGAUAAACAUGCAAGACACAGUCAACCAAUUUGCUCAUAAGCCCUAACACAUAUCCUUAUCACCCUUACUAGUCAUAUAAUUCAUUCAAAUAUCAAGAAACAUGUACGGGCUCGACAAUAACUAAAUUUCCAUAUACAUAUACUUUCCACAUCAUGAAUUCAUAUAACAUAUACAAAUCAUAUCCAUGUAUUUAAUUCGUCUCAAGUUCAGAUUAUUUCAUCUCAGGAUUUUUCCCAUUAAAUCAAUUAAAAUAUCGAUGGAAACACGAAAAGUACAUUUGUACUCAAGAUGUGCAUAUCUAUAAUCAUAGUUAAAAAUAUUCAUCAAACAAAUUCCAUGUUCAUAUAUCAUCAUCUCAUACUUACAUAUAUCAUGUAUCAUCAUUUUCAUGUAUUUCGGUAGAUACGUGUAAUAAUUCAUUUCGGUCUCAUAUUUUCUCGUGUAAGGAUUUUACCCGAUGAAUUUAUUUGAAAUAUCGAUGGAUACACAUGUAGUUCACUCGAGGUGUACAAUUUAUAGUCCAUCAAUUCAUAUUCGGGGAUGCUAAUUAAAGUACAUGAUCAGGAAAUCCUCUCUCGAGCCAUAUAAUAGGAAACUCGUAAAGAGCCAUUAAUCAAGAAGCUUAUCUGGGCUAUAUAACGGGAAGCUCAUAAGAGCCUAAAUCAGGAAGUUCAUAAGGAGCCUUUAAUGGGAAGCUCCGAAGAGCCAUUAAUCAGAAGUUCCAGAUAGCCAUAUAUCGAGAAGUUCAAGCGAGCCAUAUAUUGGGAAGUUCAAGCGAGCCAAAUCGAGAAGCUCUAGAUAGCCAUAUAACAGGACGCUCAUACAGAGCUGCGGUAUGUCCACAACACAUGCAGGACCAUUACUGAUCAUAUAACAGAACGCUCACAAAGAGCUGUGGUAUGUCAUCAAACAAAUAGUGUCGUCAAAUUUUCAGUACAAAUGCAAUAACCGUCAAUUCUAAAUCAUGUAUCGGGUAAUUCUUUUCAUGUGGUUUUUAACUAUCUGGAAGCAUAGGCUAUUACUUUGCCUUCCUACUUCAGAAACACAGCCUAAACCAUUCAAUGAUGCAUCCUUGUAAAUUAUAAAUUCCUUACCCAAUUCAGGCUGAACCAGAACUAAUGCUUUGGUCCACAGAGCUUCAAACCGAUCAAAACUUUGUUGACAUUUAUCAAAAUAUUCAAUCUUACUUCUUUCUAUAAUAAUCGUGUCAUCGGUAUAGCUAUCAUAGAAAACCCUUUCACGAAAAUUAAAAAUGGAUCAUAUAAUUAAGCUAUUUCAAUUAUUAACAUUGAAGCUUUUAAUUAUUCCAAAGCCACAACUAUCAGAUAGAUUAAAACCAUAGUGCUAUAAUUGGACUGACAUUUCAACAAUAUAGAUGGAACAAUACCUCAACAUCAAUAGUACUCUUUAAAAUAGAAGAGGAAAACCGAAAGUAGUCCCAAUAACAACCAAUGCCAUAAUACAAUUUCUAUAAUUUGAGAUCCAUAUCACCGAGCUCCUAUGAUCGAGUUAAGAUUUAUAACAAUAAUAAAUGUAAUUAACUCUGGCCAAUGAAUAUCUUUCACAGAUAAACCAUGUUUCAUAUAUAAGAUUAGACCAUAAAAAUGACAAGAAAAUCGAGAUAAUGAAAUCCAAAAUGUGAAGCUAUACUGAAUUUUCGAGAAUAAAAACACAUUGAAUUAUAAAGAGAUCGAUGAUAUCUCAGAGGAAGUCCAGAAGAGUAAUAUCGCACAUACACAGUAGAAACAGCUGUGAUAGAAACAAUAUAAAUUGCAUAUUUGCAAUUUAGAGCUUUAACCAGUAGAAGUAGAAAAUAGUAUCAUAUGAAUCUUAUCAUCAAGUCUUCUAUCAAACGUAAUUGAUUAGAAAACCAAAGAAAGAUGGAGCAAUAUCGCUCAUGAAUCAAGCAGACUUACAAUAAUUCCUUCUAAUAUUAUAAUUAGCUAACCUUUCUAUAUGAUAAGAAUCACAUUUGAAAAUGAACAGUUACAUAUAUCUCUGAGCAUCAAAGAAUAUAUAGAAUACCCAGAGGAGAUCAUUGUAAAAUACCCGAUUAUAACAACUACAUUCAAAUAUCUUUGCAAUUUCAUCACUAUUCCAUUGACUACUAAAGUCAUCAAUAAUCUCACAUUAUUUAGUUCACUAAAGAAACUAAUUCAGAAGAAAUUUCUGGUUAAUCCAUUUUAUAGAUACCAUAUAUGAAUAAGUCAAUUACUCAUGAAUAACUUAUUCCUUAAUUGUGUCAUUGCGUAUCCCGAAUAAAUCUUCAAAAUAAUCUUAUAUCUCUUUUAAAACUAUCUUUACUUACUAACCCAUUCUCUGCUUUGACUACAUUGUUAAUCAUUCAACACUGAACUCUUCAGUUUCGUACUUGUGAACUUAAUCAAUACAAAUCUUGUGCAUUUCAUUGUAUAAGACUAUACUAGUGAGGGGGUGGAGGUCGUAAAGCCUCAAAAUUUAGCUUUCAUAUGUACACGCUAACAAAGGCCGUAAGCGUGUUGUGUUUGAACCGGGAGAUUAGGUUUGGGUGCACAUGCGCAAGGAAAGAUUUCCUGCGCAAAAACGAUCUAAACUCCUUCCGAGAGGAGAUGGACCAUUCCAAGUCCUUGAACGAAUUAACGAUUAUUCUUAUAAAUUGGACUUGUCAGGUGAAUAUAAUGUUAGUGCGAGCUUUAACGUUUUUGAUUUUUCUCCGUUUGAUGCAGAAAGCAAUUUGAGGACAAAUUGUUCUGAAGAGGAGGAGAAUGAUGUGAGUUUACCUACGAACCAAGAGGAGCUCGAACAAGAGGCCAUCAAGUUGCCAAUUGGUCCGAUAAUGCGAGCUCGAGCCAAGCAAUUUAAGAGGGUUAUUUUAGCAAUGUUGGAACAAAGAGCUCAAAAAUGAAUUCAACAUGUUCAAUUUUUGGGAAGCUGAAUUUCGUUCCAGCUAAUAAAUUUGCUGCUGGAAUUUUUAGACCAUUUAAAUUAAAGCAUCUAAAUAAGUUUUUACUACAGCUUAUAAAUUUAUCUUUAAUUAAUAUAAGUGUUUAAUUUGUCUUGUUUUAGUUAAAUUAAAUAUGUCUUGAUUUCAUUUAGUUUGCCUAAAUUAAUACAUGUAUUAAAUCUGUCCAGCCGAAUUUAUGUGUCAUGUUUUAUUAAUAUUUAAGUUGUCACAAUGUUAAUUAGGAUGUUCACAUUAUGUUUUUAAUGUAGUUCAGCUGAAUUUGUUUGAAUUAAUUAAGUUCAUUUGUUUUAAUUCAGGUGCAGCCGAAUUUGGAGAUUCAUUGACUAGAUGCAUGCAUGUAGAUUCAAUGAAUGUGAAGAUGCAUGUGCAGCUGGUAUAAUGCUCUUUUCAAGGCAACUAUUCGGCCAAGAGUCAGCAGCCAAUUCAACACUCCAAGACAUGGUUGAUUCUCUUUUCAAGGAGGCAUAAAGAUGUUCACACCAUGUUCAGCCAUGUUCACACCAUAUGGCUCUUCAAAACCGUCCAUUCACACUUCCAAAUGGCUGUUCAAGUUGCUAUUUAAUGUUGGUAAUUUUUCAGCAAGAGUUGCUUCAUGAAUUACCUCAUUAAACUCCAUUAGCUGAAUGUAGCUGCUGCUAAUUUCCAAAGUUCAUUGGAAGCUAUUCUUUGGUCUCUAUUAAGCCGAACCUUGAUACAAGCUCAUGCAUGAAUUUUAGCUAAAGAUUAGUUCAAUGUUUUGCUUAGCUUUUUAAGCUUUGAAUUGUCCAUUCGGUUACCAGCACUUAAGCUAUAAAUAGUUGCUGAUUUUCUUGUAAAAGGACUUUUUUGGCCAACUUUUUGAAUGAACUAUAUUUUUGGUGAGUUAAUUCACUCUUCUUAUUCUCCAAAGCUCAAUUGACUUAUCUUCACAAGUGGCGUCAAUCUGACUUUGUUUUUGAACUUAUCACCCGUUGGUGUGGCAUUCUUCAUACCGAAGGUUCUUAUUUCACUAAAUAGUGGGUCUCGGUUUUAUCCUUAAUCCUUUCUUUUCUUUGAAAUGAUUUAAGCCCGGGUCCUUAUUUGCUAAUAAGGGUUCGUUCUUGUUUCAUUGGAAACCAGCAAAUAUCAUAUCGUUAAACACCUUUGUUUCCUAAGUCAUUCCACCUUCAAAACUCAAAGACUGAAUUUGUAUUAAACCGACACUACCUAAUUUCAAUCGGGAAUUAUUACAACUCGUUACAUCUUCCGAAACGAGCUCGUAUCAACAUUUAUCGUCAACUUAUUCAUUACAAACUUUUAUUCAUACCUCUAUGAAUUUCGUUUCAUCAUAAGCAACAUAUUUACUCAAACACUUGGGUAUCUCUUUCAACAUUAUCGGAAUUAGCUUAUUUGGAAAGCAUCUCUAUCUAUUAGUAAAACAAUUCUCAUUAGAGUCGGGAGAUAUCACACUAUCACAAGUUAUAUAAUGGCAUGUAUUUCUAGACUUCACAUAUACUACGUUCAGUUCAAGAACCGACUAAAUCGUAGCUCUGAUACCAAUAAAUGUAACACCCCUAACCCGUAUCUGUCGUUAAAUAGGGUUACGGAGCAUUACCAAAAUUUACAGAUCAGAUAAACAGAUAAUUCAUGCCUUAUAGCAUUCAUAUCAGAAAUCAAUCAUAAUGUCCCUUAUAUGAGCCUUAGAGGCCCAAAAUAUAAAUUAGAAUCAGGUCGGGACUAUACCGGGUACUCAGAGAAUUUUUCGCGAAAUCUUAAAAUUUUCCUACGUGCAGGGGUCAUAUGCCCGUGUGGUCAAGUCGUGUGAAGGGACACAUCCGUGUCUCAAGUCGUGUAACUCUCUGACUUGGGUCACACAACCAAGUCACACGCCCGUGUGCUAGGCCGUGUUAAAAUACCUACUCAUUCUGUUUUGAAAUUUUAAAGAUGCAGGGGGCACACGGCCAGAUCACACGCCUAUGUGCUAGGCCGUGUGUCACACACGGAUAAGACACACACCCGUGUCUUUGCCCGUGUGAACGAAAAUAGGCUAUUUUCUAAGCCACAUUUCUCACCCAACUUGUCUUCCACUUACACCAACACUUAAACACAUUCACAAACCAUAUCAAAGUAUUUAAAACAAGUCCAAAUCAUGUCUAAAACAUGACAUAAUAUCACAUACAACCAAUAUACCCUUAGGUACCUCAUAUGACAAUUUAUUAUCAUGUUAAUCUAUCAUUCAUACUUACCUAUUUACCAAAUGCAUAUAUGUAUGAUCACAUUUAUUAUUCAAACAUGAUAUAUCCACUUAUAAAUAUAUCAAAAUAUGUCAAACACAAGUCAUUCUAAUGGCUAGUUUCAUUCAAAACAUUUGCAUAUCAAUAUUAGUCAAUUAACCUAUACAUGCCAUUAUAACCAUAAUUGAUUUACCAUAUAUACCGAAAUGGGCCGAUGGAUAGUGUAAGUGAUCUCUGCCAAGCUUCUAAACUAAUGAGCUUCUGAAUUACUAUAGGAUAGGGGAAAAUAAAAACAAAGUAAGCUUGAAAUGCUUAGUAAGUUCGUAUAACAUGGUAAUUAAUUUACCAUUUAUUUAUGUUUAAGAUAAACAUGCAAGACACAAUCAACCAAUUUGGUCAUAAGCCCUAACACAUAUCCUCAUCACCCUUGUUAGUCAUAUAAUUUAUUCAAAUAUCAAGAAACAUGUAUGGGCUCAACAAUAACUAAAUUUCCAUAUACAUAUACUUUUCACAUCUUGAAUUCAUUUAACAUAUACAAAUCAUAUCCAUGUAUUUCAAGUGCAUUUUCAUAAUAAUUCGUCUCAAGUUCAAAUUAUUUCAUAUAAGGAUUUUUCCCAUUAAAUCAAUUAAAAUAUCGAUGGAAACACGAAAAGUACAUUUGUACUCGAGAUGUACAAAUCUAUAAUCAUAGUUAAACAUAUCCAUCAAACAAAUUCCAUGUUCAUAUAUCAUCUUCUCAUACUUCCAUAUAUCAUGUAUCAUCAUUUUCAUUUAUUUCGGCAUAUGCGUAUAAUAAUUCAUUUCGGUCUCAUAUUUUCUCAUGUAAGGAUUUUACCCAUUGAAUUAUUUGAAAUAUCGAUGGAUACACAUGUAGUUCACUCGAGGUGUACAAUUUAUAAUUCAUCAAUUCAUAUUCAGGGAUGCUAAUUAAAGCACAUGAUCAGGAAAUCCUCUUUCAAGCCAUAUAACAGGAAACUCGCAAAGAGCCAUUAAUCAAGAAGCUUAUCCUGGCUAUAUAACGGGAAGCUCAUAAGAGCCUAAAUCAGGAAGUUCACAAAGAGCCUUUAACGGGAAGCUCCGAAGAGCCAUUAAUCAGAAGUUCCAGAUAGCCAUAUAUCGGGAAGUUCAAACGAGCCAUAUAUUGGGAAGUUCAAGCGAGCCAUAUCAAGAAGCUCUAGAGAGUCAUAUAACAAGACGCUUACACAGAGCUACGGUAUGUCCACAACACAUGCAGGAUCACUAUCGAUUAUAUAACAGGACGCUCACAAAGAGCUGCGGUAUGUCCGUAACAUAUGCAUGAUCAAUACCGAUCAAAAUGCUCGCAAGAACCAUGUAAUGAGAGGAUCGAGAGGGCUUAUACGGGAUGCUCAUAAGAGCUAUGGUGUCCACAACAUAUGCAGGACCACAACCAAUACGAGAAUCCUGUAUCCAUCGAAUUUCAUUUAUUCAAACGAGACUUAAUACUUUUCAGGCAUUACCGGAUAUGUGACCGAUCUUCAUACAUGUCAAUUUUACAACAUACAUACAUAAAAUUCAAUUUAAACAUACAAAUAUACACAAUUUAGUUGCACGAACUUACCUUAACAAAUAUUUGUGUAUGUAAAAUCUACUAAUCCGACACUUUCUCUUUCCUCGUUCUAACUCUGAAUUAGGUCUAUCCGAAUCUAAUCAAGCAAAAUAAGUUGACUUGAGCUUAGGUUUCCAUGGCUAAGGUUUCCAUACUUUUAAUUUGGGGAAGAUGAUAAAAAUGAUUAUAUUUUCAUUAUUUUAUCAUUUAUCAUCUUUUAUUAUUUUACUUUCCAAUUUAGUCCAAUUUAAAGUUCUAUAGCUAUUUAAUCUCUUUAGCUUUUAGAACUCAACUUUUACACUUUGUGCAAUUUGGUCUUUUAUCAAAUUAAACAUGUAAUCGGUAAAAUUUAUUUACGAAAUUUUCAUAUGACAUUAUUAUCGUACUAUAGACCAUAAAAUAAUAUAUAAAAAAAUUUCUUUUUAAACUCAGAUUUGUGGUUUCGAAACCACUAUUUUGAUUUUACCGAAAACGGGCUAUGUUAAUAUUGGAGAAGAGAGAAAAUAGAAAUUAUACUUUGAUAUAAGAGACCAAGGUAAGGAUGAUAAGGUUUCUUCAUUAAUUUCAUGCGUCAGUCAAUGUGUACGAAAAUAAUAUUUGAUUAUUAUAUUAAUACUGAAUCAUGUAUAUUUUUAUAUAAGAAGAGGGGUGAAUCUCAAGUUGGUGAAAAAGGGAAUGAGAUGGCUAAGAUGGCUAAGGAGUGAAAGAAAUAAGAAUGAAGUUUAUUCAAACUUUAAUUUGUAAGUACAUCAAGAAUUGUUACUUAACUAAUAAAUAAGUGUAAAACUAUGUUAGAUUAGUUAUAUUAAUAUUUAUAUAUGAAUAUGUUAAUAUUUAAUAUGAAAUUGAUUAGUGAGUGUGUUUAUAUCAAUUUAAUUUCAAUUACAAAGUGAUAGAUGUAGUUUAUUAAAAGUAUGGAAAAAAGGACUAAUUUGUAAAAUGUGUAAAAUUAACAUGUAAAUUAAAUAUUAUGUUUGAGUGUAUAAAUUAAGUGAUAUAUGGAAGUGAAUUACAUAUAAAGUGAUAUUGAAGUCUUAUAAAAGGGGUUAUUGAAUUUCAUGAUGAUGGGGACUAGAAUGUAAAGAACGUAAAAGUUUAUAAGUGAUUAAUUGAAAUGUAAAAGUGAAUCUAAUAAUGUUAUAAUUUCAAAAGUAGACAAGAUGUGAACUAGUAGGAUAUAGAUGGCAUGCCAUUAGUAAACUUUCAGUGCAUAGUGAAAGUGGCAUUCUGGUGCAACUCAGUGAUUAUGCACUUCAGUGCAAAGUGAUAGUGGCUCUUUGGAGCAUUUCAAUGAUUCAACACUUCUUUGCAUUAUCGUGUAAGCAAUUUAGUGCUAAUACUUUAUUGAAUUUCCACAUAUCUUGCAUGUUCUAUUGAGUCUACUAUGGGCUGGCAUAAAGUGGUAAGUGAAAAUAAAAGUGAAAUGGGAAAUGAAUUAGUAGUGAAAAAGUAAAUGGUUUUUAAUGGAAUUAUUUGAAAACUUUAGUGUUAAAUGUUUUUUUCUAUCAAAGUUUUAUUUAAAUGUUCAAUAUUGAUUAAUGCAAAGGUAAAUUUAAUUCUUGAAGUACUUACUAAGCUUUCACAAGCUUAACACAUUAUUUAUCAAUACGUAGGUAAAUAUUCGACUUGAAGCUUUAAAGUGAAAUUAGAACCUCAACUCGUCUCAUCACAUAUCAAGGCUUGGAAGAGUAUGGAUUCAAUCCUUUGGUAUUAGUUUAUGGCAUGUACAUAAGUUUAAUUAAAGUAUAUGUUUAAGAUUUCUAGUGAAAAUACUUGGUGAAUCUUAAGUACUUUGUUAGCUCUAUGAACUUAGUUGAGAUUUGUUUGAAGUAUAUGUUGUAUUAAAUGAUGUUUUGAUGGUGCUCUAUGUUUUAAAUUGGUUGAUGUAUGAGAAUGAAUAAAAUUGAUUGUGGCAUAAGAGUGUUUGGGCAAGUAUAAGGCUCCCUUACACUUAGGGUGCAAUACCCUAGUGACAGGUAUUGGUACCUAAGAGUUAGAAUGAUAAAAUCUACAAUGUUUUAGCCUAGGUAUUGAUACCUAGCACAGAGGUACCGAUACCUCUACUUCAAACCACUCAGUUUGGUUAGUUUUGCUCAGGAAAGGCUUUAAAUGUACUUCGUUUGCAACCAAACUUUGAAGAUAGGUUAGAAAUGACUAGAAUCACUCCAAACGAGCUUAAUUUGGUUAAAAUGAAUGGAAUUAGAUGAUGUUCAAGUUUAGUGUUUGUAGUGCCCAAAUGUGACAUUUGUUGCUAGGGUUGUCGGGUUAUCCCAGGUAAUGGGUAUUACAAAUUGUUGGAAAAAUCAAUUUGGAAAACUUGUUUACACAACAUAAUUUUAAUUUUUUUUCUAAAACCUGAGCCAUUUUGUGUUAUUUAUAGAAAUGAACUUUACCAAAUUAGUACAUAUGUUUUUCACUCAACGGAACUUAUUGAUUCUUGACUUCCAACAAACACGAUCUUUUUCGCUAUUCUCGCACCCUCAGUUUGCUUAAAGAGUGGGCUCUAAUUCAAGAACCGAUCAUACAAUGACUACAUUUAGAGUGGUGUGAUGUUUACUUAUCCCAUAGUCCCUUUUUAUAAGGAAAAUCCACAAAAGUUCUAUUUGAAUAAGAGGAGACAAAAAUAAUACAAUUUUAAUAAAAAACACGGACUCCCAUUUAGACAUCACAUGGUGAGUGGCACACACACGAGGAAUAUUCCAAUGUGCUACCCACAAUAAUACAAGUGGGCUUUAUUAGGUUUUUCUUGUAUUGGGUACAACUAUAUAUUUGUUAUAUAGUCUUUAAAACAACUUAUAUAAUUUAUCCAACUCAAUACUAGUUUUAUGUUCUCAAAAUAUUAUUUAUUUAAUCAAUUAAAACAAAUUUAAUUAUUUCUCUCAAUUAAAUUAUUGGAUAAACUAUACCCACCAUCACUAAACUAUUAGUACAUUUACGUUUUGGUCACUCAACUUUAAAAAGCUAUAGAAUGGUGACUGAACUAUUUAGAAGUUCUCAUUUAAGAAAUUGGGUUGUUAAAAUACUACCGUAUGGCCUUUUUUGUUCGCCCCAUCUGCACCAAUCGAAAGCUUUCCUUCCCCUUCCCUUCUACGAUUAAGUUUUUUUUUCUCAUGAAACAACUUUGAACACCACAAAUCUACGAACCAAAAUCCAAACAAUUUUCUUUUCCAAUCUCCGACAAUAACUAUUAAAUCGACUUAGAUCUAAGAUAUGUUAUUAUACUUGUCGAUGGGUACUGAUCCACAUAUCGUUCAUCGAAACAUUGCUUGAAGCUUGUUAGCCAAACUUUUUUUUUAAAUAACUUAAUAGCCUAGUGACUUAAAAAAACUUUUAAAUAGUUUAAUAACUUAAAUGAAAACUUUGAAAUAAUUUAGUGAUCAUUCUGAAAUUCUUUAAAGUUUAAUGACCAAAACAUAAAUUUACUAACAAUUUAAUAAUAUUAAUGUAAUUUAACUAAUUUUAUUUAAAAUGAUGAUAUAAUAUACAAUUUCAACUUUUCAUUGGGUGGUAAAAGCUAACAAAUCCAUAAUCAAACAUAUCUAAGUAAAUCAAUGUUUUAUUUUAUAGGGGAAGUUUUAAAAUUACAAUAUUUAUACCAAACAUGCGAUAAGCUUUGCACAGCAUCAACAAAGAAACCCUAAAAGCAGAAGAGUUCCUAAUAGUGAAGUCUUCUGGAUCCUUCCUAAAAUAUAAUAUUUUAUAUAUCUAUCCCACAUUCUGGAUUCUUCUACCUCCCCGCCCCGAACCCUCCAGAGCGGCCCCUCCCACCCAGUUGCUUCUUUUAAGCUCUCCCUUCCAUUAUUAUCCUCACAUCUCUCUCAAUCCCUAAUACACCCUCGUCUUGAUUUUUUCAUCAAUGGCCAAGUACGGCGAAGGCGACAAGCGCUGGAUCGUGGAGGAAAGACCUGACGGUGCUAACGUCCACAACUGGCACUGGGCUGAAACCGAUUGCCUCCCCUGGUCAAAAAUGUUCUUCACCAAAUCGCUUUCGGAUCUCACCAUCCUUGACGGCCAAGGCAAUCUCCGCAUCAAGACCAAGAAGGUCGAAAAGGUC